UGAUUUUGUACUUUCUCACUUUAGUGCCCUGUGGUUUAAAAUGUAUCAAGUUAGUACUUUGUGCUUUCAUUUUUCUCUUUUCGUCAGCUCCUCCGUUCAUAUUUCGUUAAAUUAUAUACAAAAAACUUGAGAUAUAGUACCAUUUAGUUUUAACUUUGUGAUUGGUUUAACGAAAAAAAAUAGUGGAAUGGAUAAUAAAAAAAAAAUUACAGAGUACUAAAUUGAUAUAUUUUAAACCAUAGAAAACUAAAGUAAGAAAGUGCGAAACCAAAAGAAUGAUAUUUAAAUUUUAUUUUUUUUUUAAAAUAAAAUAUAAAAAAUUUCUAUAAAUAUCUAUUUUUUCUCUCCUUCUGAGUUUUAGACAGCUACAUUUUGCUCUCUUAAACUUUAUAAUAUUUUUAAGAAAUAUAGGUGUCAUGGAAAAAACGAAAUGAAAAAUUAUUCCUCUUUGUUCUAUAGCGAAAUGAUCCAACUAUAUAUAUAUAUAUAUAUAUAUAUAUAUAUAUAUAUAUAUUAGUAUAGUAAUAUAUAUAUAUUAUAAUAUUAUAUAUUAUAUAUAUAGUAAUAUACUAUAUUAAAAGCACGUAUAUUCAAUUUGGGUCUUUCGACAGAACACAUUUUUGGAAAUUAACGCUUUUCAGCUCUUUCCGUCCGAAAAAUUUUUAAAUAUAAGAAUAAAUAGAAAUAAAAACAGCAAUGAAUAACUAAGUUCUUAUAACAGAUAGAUGUGAAAUUAAAAUAUAAAUUUUUCUAUUUAAUUGAAAAAAAAAAAAAAAAAAAAAAAAAAAACAAAAGUAAAUUUGUUCUAUAACAAAUUAUGGGGUUAAAACGUUAAAAGAUAUUUUUCUAUUUUAUUUUAAUAAUAGUCUUUUUAGAUAUUAUCUAUUUAAUUUCAAAAUAAUAUUCUUUUAAUGAUAAAGAUUUUUUUUUAUUUAAUUCAAAAAUUUAUUUCUAGCAAUUUUAAUUUUUUUUAUUUAAUUUCAAAAAGUAAUUUUUGCAUUAGAGAUUAUGUUAAAUUAUUUAUCAUUUAAAGGAUAUCUUUCUAAUAGCGUGAUUUAUUAUUUAAAUUGUUUUAGAUAUAUUUUUUGGCAUCAUAUAAAAAUAUGCUAUAAUUAAAAAUAAUUUAUAAAAAUUAAUUUGCUAAAUUAUUACUGUAUUUGCACGUACAUUUUACUAGUAUAUAUAAUAUAUAUAUUAUAUAAUAUAGUGUAAAAUAUUUCCGUACUUUAGCCAAAAAAAAAAAAAUGUUGAGAGGAUCUCCAUACAUUAUUUACUGAAAAAGAGAAAAGAAAAAUUAAUGCUUCUCCCUAAAUGGUGGGGGAUUUGUUGGUGGAGAUGAAAAGGGGGUGUUGGCCUUCUCAGCUUAAUUACAAACAAGUGCUUCAGAAAACCCACCAAGAAGCUUGAGACAGGGCGGUACGCUGCGUGCCGUUCCUUUUUGUAAUGGGGCACUUUUUUACGUAGUGGGAUCCAAAUUACCCAAAUUACCCCUAUGUGAAUAUUUUUCCUUAUGUUUUAAAACCGGAGUUGACCUAAUCUGUUGGAAUAUAUGAGAUUCCAUAUAGCCCUAUAUAUAAGAUAUAAUAGGGCUAAAACUUUUAACCCAGUUAUAAUAUUUUGAACGGCAGUUAGGACCAGUAGAUUAAGAGAAUUAAGGCCAUGUUUGUUUCAACGUAAGUAGACUUGGGGCGGAAGUAGAUUUUGGGUUGAAGUGAAGUUUAGGUGAAAAUUAAUUCACUUCCGCUAUUUGUUUCUAACUAUGGAAGUGCAGUUCUGUGAGUACUGUUGUUUGUUUGGUAGGAAGUAGAUGACGUAAAAAGUGUAGAUCUCCACCCCCGGUAUACUUACCUCCGAAGUGAUAUUAUUGUUUAUUUUAUAACUUAGUGAAUAAUAAAUUAUAAUAAAUAAAAAUUAAUAUAAUUAUAUAUGUAUAUAAUUAUAUAUAUGUAUAAUUAUAAAAUAAAAUUUUAAAAAUUUAUAUUAUUUGUUUGCAUAUAAAUUAUAAUAAUGCAACAAAUAAAAUUCUAAAGUUAAAAAAUUAUUAACAUUUAACAAAUUCAUUUUNCGGUAUACUUACCUCCGAAGUAAUAUUAUUGUCUAUUUUGUAACUUAGUGAAUAAUAAAUUAUAAUAAAUAAAAAUUAAUAUAACUAUAUAUGUAUAUAAUUAUAUAUAUGUAUAAUUAUAAAAUAAAAUUUUAAAAAAUUAUAUUAUUUGUUUGCAUAUAAAUUAUAAUAAUGCAACAAAUAAAAUUCUAAAGUUAAAAAAUUAUUAAUAUUUAACAAAUUCAUUUUUCAUCAUUUUCUAAAUAUACAAAUUAGGCAAAAAAUAUAUUAAAACUUAUCUAACUAAAUUUGAUCACAUUACCUAACCAAAUUUAACAAGCUUUUUUGCCUCUUUGCACUUCACCGGAAUUGACUUCGCCCUGUGGGAGGACGAAGUCAAUUACCCUAUUUUGGGUGAACUCGACUUUCGGCCGUAAUAAAAUUACGAUAAAACAAACAACGGGAGUGAUAGUUUACGGCGUAAACAACUUUCCCCCUCUCCACUUCCCUCUCACUUUCACCCAAACAAACACACCCUAAGCGUAUUAGCAUUAGAGAAGCUCUAGGAUGGAUGACUCCCUGAAAAUUGGAGCGUCAUAAUUGAUAUCAACGCUAAUUGUCAGCCCCAAGUGUGAGAUGAGUCGACUGAGCCGGGUUAUACAGUCCGGAGAGUGGGGCUCUCAUAUUGAUGACUGUUGUGGGUAUAGCGCAGCUCCCCCACAAGUUCGGUUAAGACUAGCGAGCCGAGUCUCGUAUCUUCUGUUACUUAUGAGUCUAAGCCUGACGAGAAUAUCAGGGUUUAAAGGAGGGGAGAGAAUGUGAGACCUCAGAUAGUUCAAUAUAUAAGAUAUAAUUGGGUUAAAACUCUUAACCCAACUAUAACAUUUAGGGCGGUGGCUAGAUUCAAGAAGUUAAGAGAGUUACGCAUGUUAGGAUUAGAGUAGUACUAGAAUGAGUGACUCCCUAGAAAGUGGGACAUGAUAGAAUAGUCAAAUCAUGACUCGCUACGCAAACCGGUUCUAUUCAACCCAUAAAACAAGCCUUACUUAAAACCAACUUUGACCUGUUUAGAUCAGUGGUUCAACAGUGAACCGAUGAACCCGCUCGAUUUUGCAAGAACUGACCAGAUCUUUUUUUUAUUUUAUAUUUUAAAUAUUAUAUCAAAAUAUAACUUAUAUUUUGGAUGUAUUUUUAAUUAUAUAUAAUAUAAUAAACACAGAAUACUAUUGUGAGACCCCAGAUAGUCCUAUAUAUGAGAUAUAAUAGGGCUAAACUCUUAACCUGGCUCUGAUACCACUUUAAUCUGUCACGCCCCGGGGUCCCUUUCAGUUUAAAAAAUUUCGACGCGCACGAGCAACACGAAGUUCAACGAAACAGCGCACACUGAAACUAAAACACAUGUAACUAACUCAUCCGGAGCUCUCUGACCCUACGUGAGGUGAGCAUUGUGAUCAGGACUGACUGAAGAUCACCGUGCUCACCUCCGGGGGCAUCGGAACAGCCCCGGGUCGAUAUUGCUCCGAAAGGUGAGCAUGGCCUCCGGCACGUCGAAACCUGUCGGUGGGUAUCUUGGCUCGGCUGAUUGACCUCUGGUUUGCGUAGACGGACCAUAAAAGCGCCGAAAUCGCAUGAAAUAAUGCGAUUUCGGGUAUUCGGAAGGGCUUUUAUGCAACUUCGUCCGUCGUGGCUGCUGUUGGCAGCAAGUAUGGGCUGAGAAUAACCUCCAGACUGAUUGUCCAAGGCCCCGAACCUUUGCGAAGACCGGAAAUGCAUUUCCGGAGCGUUUUUCGGCGAAAUCCGCCGAUAGAACGCGUUUUCGAUUCGGAAUUCUUCCGACGGUACUUGGGGAUCAUUUGUUUCAUCGCCGAGCCUUGUUGGCUGGUCACCCGCAUCGUUUCGUGGGUUUGGAAACGACGGGUGAGCGACGGUGAAGUUCCGGUGCAGUUUUCGGGACUUUCGGUUUGUCCGGUAAUCGGUUUUGGGAAAUCGAUUCUCGUGGGUUUAUUUGUGGGGUUAUGCUUUUAGGGUUUCUUAGUUGUGGGUUAGACACUAACCCAGUGGACCCCCUUAGGUCCUGUUGACGUUCUUUUGCAGUCAGGAGACAGGCGCGACAGUUGUACAGGUGGGUACUUCGAUCCGACAUUGGUACACUGGUGCACGCUCGGUGACGUUUCCUUUACCCUUGUUGCUUAUAUCUUUUACCAUAUAUAUGUUGAGCCUUGCACCCAUGCUGUUUCCUUAUUACUCUACUUAGUUGUUGCCAGGUGUAGUAUCAUGUGUAGGAGUAGAGUAGACUUUAUCUGUAUAUGAUAUUUAUGAUUUGGUUGGUCUUGAUCUCCUAUGUGAUCUCCAUGACCUUGGGUCGCGUUUGCAUCUCCUACACUUGUGACCUGUGUGGUGUUUUCUUGUACCUCGAUAUCAGUGACAUGAUUGCGUCGCGUUCAUAUCCUAUAACUUGUGACAUGAUUGUCUGAGUUCAUUUCCUAUAACUGCGACAUGAUUGGUCGGUUUCAUAUCCUAUACUUAUGACCUAUUCGGUCGAGUUGCUUACAGUUCUAUCUAUAAUCUGUGAUUUGGUUGGGCGGUUCCCCUAUUUUUGAUAUCUAUGACUAUUCGGAUCGAGUUGCUACAGUCUACAUGACAUACGUCGCCGAUUAGUUGCCUGAUGGCCUAUACGGUCUGGUGAGCCCUGAGGGGCUGGAUUGUCGGCUAGUUGCGCAUGGAUGAUCUUUGAGCAUACUACAUUGAUCGCCACUGCAGGUACGCAUUUCACGAACACCAGCGGUCUGAUCCACCGCAGAGGGUGUUCUUUUCCCGGAAAAGUGGUUGGAUUGCCAACCCGUUGAGCCAGGGGCUUUAUUGCGAGGGUAUAUGCUUCUGACCCAGGGGCUUCAUUGCGAAGGUCAGGUACUAUGCUUCUGACCCAGGGGCUUCAUUGCGAGGGUCAGAACAGGUUGGCAGUGUAUGGGCCUGACGUCUUCGGACCAAUAGGGCAGCGAGAUUGGGUACUUUGAUGUUUCAUCAGUUGACGCAUAUGUCUAUAGUGCAGCGUUUGCAUGCAUAUUUACAAGUCCUUACUUUAUAGUUGUAUUGCUACUAUAGUGAUAUUCUUGUAUGCUUUCGAUUUCAGUUACAGUAGCGGUAGCCGUAUUCAAUUAGUCUUACUUUUCUUUCAGUUUAUUACUACUGUAUUCGGUAUAUCUGACUCAUUACUUUACAUAUCUCUUUGUUUAUUGUUGUUCUGCUAUAUUUCACAUGACCCGUGUUGUUGUAUAGCUCUUCCUGAUCCGGUGAGUACUCCUCGCCUUCUUCGGCUUGCGGUACCACUGGAGGGAGACAUGUUUACAUGUUCUCACUCCCCACUAUUUUUCAGGUAUCGCAGGCGAUGUGUAUUGGACGAGAUGUGGGUACGUUCGUAGUGGUCGAUAGAGCUUUCCAACCAGGUUGUUCGGUUUAGUUUCUUACCUUCUUAUUUCGUCGAUGUAUAGUUUAGUUGGUUUAUGUGGUUCAGUUUUAUUUACAUUUGAAAGUGUGGAUUUUCAUGAAUGUAAUAAAGGAUUUCUGGUUUUGGUAAAUAAAGGUUUUCUACCUCUCGUGGUAGCACUUCUAAAGAAUAAGGUUUCCGUGUAGAAACAGUUUUCAAAGGAUUUUUGGUGAUUUCUAUUAAACAUUGAAUGUAAAACUGUGAUUGAAUGGUGAAUGUAUGAAUGUAUAGUUAUCUUUAUACUCAUCUAGUUGUGGUUGUAUCCUGGUUGUACUCUUGUACAUUGUGCGACGCCCGUGCAAUACAGGGGAGACUCUGUCGUGGGAACAAUGGAUCUCCUGUAUUUGUGCGGAUCUGGCAUACUCUGGGGUCAGAUAUAUAUAUAAAAAAAAAAAUGUUCGGCGCUUUUCCGCUAUCUUUUAAACUGAAAGGGACCCCGGGGCGUGACAGAUUAAAGUGGUAUCAGAGCCAGGUUAAGAGUUUAGCCCUAUUAUAUCUCAUAUAUAGGACUAUCUGGGGUCACAAUCUCCCCUCCUUUAAGCCCUGACGUCCUCGUCAGGCUCAGACUCACAAGUACCAGGCGAUGUGAGACUCGUCUCGCUAGCCCGUCAUCCAGACCCUGGCUCAGCCGAGACUCAUCUCACACUUCCGGCUGGUAAUUGACUCUGAUACCAACUGAGACGCCCCAACUUCCCAGGGGGUCACCCAUCCUAGGACUACUCCCGUCCUAGCACACUUAACUCUCUUAACCUCUUGGGCCUUGCCACCACCCAAAAUGCUUAAGCUGGGUUAAGAGUUUAGCCCUAUUAUAUCUCAUAUAUAGGACUAUCUGGGGUCUCACAAUAAAAAUUUCGACGCUUUUCCGCUAUCUUUUAAACUGAAAGGGACCCCGGGGCGUGACAGAUUAAAGUGGUAUCAGAGCCAGGUUAAGAGUUUAGCCCUAUUAUAUCUCAUAUAUAGGACUAUCUGGGGUCUCACAACUAUAUUUUGUAUAUACUUUGUACUGUAAAAAUAAUGACUAAGUAUUUAUGACAUUGAUGUUGUCGAUCAUGUUAAGGAUUUUCUAGGUUGGCGAAUUUCAUAAAGUCGAAUGGAGUCUUGAAGAGUUAAACGUGAAGUUUUGGAAAAGAAGAUUCAUUUGAAGGUCAAGGAUUCAUUCAAAAAGCUCAGCACCUCAGGUAUGAAGUAUAGAUCAUUUGUGGUGAAGUUAACUGAUCAAAAUAUGUUAGAAGACUUGGAUUGCAUUGUUAAACUCAUUCUGGACUUUUUAGUGUUCAAGGACCGGUCCCUGAGAUGAGAGACCGGUCCCAGAGGGUCCUCUUUGCGUGAAAUGUUGAGGCAACCGGUCCCUGGAAAGUGAGAUCGGUUCCCGAACGCUUGAUUUUCUGUCACACAGUGAGGGACCGGUCUCUGAAAUGAGAGACCGGUUCCCGAAGCCUGUGUUUUCAGGCACGCAAUCAGGCACGCAACGAGGGACCGGUCUCCCACUUGAGGGACCGGUCUCCCAAAGACCGGUCUCCUCGAGAGGACCGGUCUCUGAGGACGACGUAAGUUUUUAAAAUUGUAGUUUUGCAAUCCUAGUCUACUUCUAAGUCUUCUAAAUCUAUAAAUAUGAUAUGAGGGUACCCAUAUGAUGUAUGCUUUAAGAGAUAAUGUUUUAGAAACUUAAAAACUUGAUUUGGAGCUUUUGAUCUAUGUUUUAAAUAUCAAGUUCUUAGAUCAUCGAUUUGAUUCUUUGAUUUCAAUUCAAUAGUUCCUUGAGGAUCAAAUCGAUGAUGUUCUAAGAAGGGUUUCUCCUCAUAUUAUACGUGCUUUUUAUGUAAUCAAAUCACCACAAAUUAUCAAUUUCCUGCGAGCUUCGGAAGGAGUGUUGGGCGCGUGGAUUUCGCGUGAAAGCCGUGGAUUCGGUGAGCGUUUCGUUAACUCGAGACGUGUUUUGCUGUGAGGAUUUGCAGCGGGAUCGAUUGGAGGAUUCCAAGCGAUCGAGGACCGGCGAAGACAAUCUACAACAAGGAUUCGGUAAAUUGAGUCAUGUAUUUUCGUUAAAUCACUUGUACUCAAGUUUUCUUAGUGGAUUUCUUUGCGUGAUCGGUCCCAUGGGUUUUUCUCUCCGAAUUGGAGUUUUUCACUAGGUUCAAUAUUACUCUUACUCAACCUAUGUCCUUGACACUAGGUUCAAUGCCACUCGAUCUAUAUAUAUAUAUGUCCACAUGCACAUGUCAUUUAACAUAGUUCUAUAUAUGUCAACUUACCCUCACUUAGCAUUCUCGUCAUGUCAUCAUUUAUUUUCUUAGCAUUAACCACAUGCUUAUCAUGUAUUUACUUGGCAUUCUUAUAACAUGCAACAUGCAUUCAACUAGCAUUAAUCAAUGCAUUUAUUUAGGAUUUCUAUACCAUGUCAUUCAUGCAUUCUCUUUUGUAUUUCUACUUUAUGUCAUUAGUAUACAUUCUCUUUAGCAUUUACUACAUGCAUCCACUUAGCAUUUACAUGCAUCAAUAUAAAACCACAUUACUCUUAGACAUAACGGCGACCUAGUCGCUUCAGUAAACACAACCCACCUCAAUUCGUACUCCGAUUGCUCGUAGUCACUUGCAAUCGGCCUCCCGAGGCACCCGUGAUCCUGUUCGGCCCGAACUCUCGCGCGACCACCCGGACGGCCUCCAAUCCACGAUCCGAAAAUUAAAGGUCUACGGUUAGUUGCCACGAGCCCACGAUUCCGUUUUCAUGACUUUAGGACGUCGCCUCAGCCCUCCAGGCGGAAACGAAGCCGAAACGUCCGUUUUUUUAAUAUCUUCUCACCGGCUCGACGAAUCGCCGAACUGACUUCGCCAACGUGUCGGAAAACCUACCGAUUUGGUUUCUACAAAGUCAAUUUACAUUCAAACCCCUCUAUGACAAAAGCCCCAAUUUGGAGCCCUAAUAGUGCACUAUAACAACAUAUACUCUAAACCCAUUUAAAUCAAGCGUUAACAAGCAUGAUUUCAUCUAGAGAUUCAUCUAAAAUCAUUCUUAGGGCAAUUAAACCGAAUUCUAAGGUUCCACCAUUAAAGGGUUUGAAGCUUACCUUACUUGAGCCAAUGAAGAAGAAGUAAUAGCUCAACUCCAAACCAUCUUCUCCAUCAAGCUUCUUCUCCAAUUUCCUCUCCAAUUCCUCUUUGGUGGAGAGAUUACAAGAGAAGGAGAGAGGGUGGUGAGCUAGAAGAAAAGAGAGAAAGAGAGAAAGACUCUCCUUUCUCUCUCUCUCGGGUUGAACCGCACAAAAGGGGGAGAUGGCAUUUGUUACACAAAUAGCCCCCCCAACUAUAGCUUAUUUUCAGUUUAGCAGCUCAAUUUAGCAGUUCGGACACGUUGGAGCCCUUCUGAACGUCCGUUUGCGCUCAAAUUUGACAGUCAGGCUCGGUUUUGCUUACUAAGAAAGAAUAUAUGUUAAGUUUUUAGUUUCGACCACGUUUGGUCACCGAAAGCUCUACCGAACUGUAAUCUCUAGCAGAUAGCAGUCGGAUUUUAUUUUCCACCUUCCGGGUGUCAGAAUGGCAUGAAACUUUAAAUCUAGUCUCAUAAAAAUAAUUCUGACAUAUUGUUCAGUUUUCAUAAUUUUCUGACACUGUGUAUUUUCUGCUAAAAUAUCAGCCCCAUCUCUCACAGAAAAUUCUAAAUCUUUUCUUUUCGUUCCGAUUUCGGCACAAGUCAUUUCUAACUUAUAUUUUACUCCACUAAAUCUAAUAAAAAUAGUAUCUCACACUAUUUUUAUUUAUUUUUUACUUUUAUAUCAAAAUCUGAUAUGUCACAAGCCCAAAGUUUACCAGUACACUUCCUCGUGUCACCGGUAACACGACUGCGCAGAGACAAAACCCGAGAGCUGCUUCUCGGUUUCGUAGCCUUUGUACCGGUACACUUUCAAUGCUGUACCGGUACACAUUGCUGUACCAGUUACAACUCGAUGGUUGUACCGGUACACUUUGCCGAGACUUGGUUUUUGGUUCCGUUUCGAUUCUAUUUCGCGCCGAACAACGCUAAAACAUUUCCAACUCCUUCUAAACUCACUUUUAACCCUUCCAACCUUGUUGGAAUGUUAAAUAGAACUCGUCCAACCAUUUCAUUCGCACGCUUUAGUCAAUUUGACUAAAGUCCAAUAUUUUCUACCGAAGUUUCGGUAUGUUACAAAGGCCUUCUCCUAGAUCUCCUUCUUCUUCUCCACCUUUCUUUCCUUCUUCUUCUUCCUCUUCUUCUUCUCCUUCUACCUUGCUCAAGAGAGGGAGAGAGAGAAAGAGUUUAGUGAGAGAGAGAAUGUGAGAGUGAGGGUGAGAAUGAGAGAGAGGAGAAGGCUCAGCCCCUCUAUACCCCUCAACUCAUGGCAUUUUGCAUAAAAGCCCCUCCACUUUACUUCUCUCAACCUGCCUUGCCUGGGCAAUUUUCGCGCAGAGGGACCGGUCCCUCAACGGGAGGACCGGUCCCCGAGAGCAAUUUCCCGCAACACGCGUACGGGAACCGGUCCUUGCUCGAGAGACCGGUUGCAUCGGGUGCCUGCCGCAACCCUCAGCUACGGGAACCGAUCCCUCCCACCAGGGACCGGUCCCCGAGAGCAGUUUUGCGCAGGGCUCCCCUCUGCCAGAAUUCCUGCUUAAGGGAACCGGUCCCUGCCGCUAGGGACCGGUCCCCGAGAGCAGAAUCUGCCAAGUGUAGAUUUUACAUUAUUUGCUCUCGCAGACUCGACUCCAAAGCACUUUUUGUGUUUUGGACAUCUUUAGCUCCUCCAAAGCCUACCCACUCGACAAUUAGUCGAUCCUGUACGAAGUCCAACUCUCCGAUUUCGAGAAUUCACUUCCUUACAUCCUUCCCUCCUUAAAAGGAGUUUCGUCCUCGAAACCCAUUCAACUUAAUUUAAACUCAGUUUCUAUACCUUAUUCCUCAAACAAGUGAGGAUGAUGCUUUCUCAUUAGAUCCUCGAGUUCUCAGGUGGCCUCGCGAUCAUCAUGAUUGCUCCAUCGGAUUUUACGUAGGGAAUCUCGCGAUUUUGCAGCUUUCGCACUUCUCGGGCGAUAACCAUCACCGAAAACUCCUCGUAGCUCAAGUCUUCUUGGAGCUCCGGCGGCUCGUAUAGCAUCGCGUGCUCGGGGUCAUGAAUAUACUUGCGAAGGUUGGAGACAUGGAACACUUUGUGUACAUCCACGAGCUUCGGCGGUAAGGCAAGCCGAUAGGCCACCGUGCCAACUCGCUCCAAUAUCUCAUAUGGUCCAAUGUACCGGGAACUUAACUUUCUCCGCACUCCAAACUGCUUCACACCCCGCAUUGGCGAAACUUUUAAGAAUACGCGGUCACCCACCGCAAUUCUAUGUCUCGACGGCGCCUAUCAGCAUAGCUUUUCUGUCUCGACUGCGCCGUGAGGAAUCGCUUCUGAGCAAAGCGGACUUUCUCCUCCGAUUCUCGCAACACGUCUGGGCCGAACUCUGCACGCUCACCCACAUCGCUCCAGUGUAUAGGAGACCGACACUUCCGCCCGUAGAGGGCCUCAAACAAUGCCAUCUCUAUACUUGCAUGAUAACUGUUGUUGUAGGCGAACUUGGCCAUCGGCAAAUGAUCACACCAACUCCCCUUAUAGUCGAUGACACACGCCCGCAGCAUAUCCUCCAUAGUUUGAAUGGUCCUUUCUGUUUGCCCAUCUGUCUGAGGAUGGAAUGUUGUACUAAAAUCGAGCCGUGUGCCAAGGGCUUCCUACAGGCUCUUCCAGAAGUGUGAGGUAAAUCGGGGGUCGCGAUCCGACACGACCGAUUUCGGCACCCCGUGUAACCGAACUAUCAUGUCAAGGUAUACCUGCGCCAACUUGUCACCUGCCCACGUGGUGUGGAUCGGCAAAAGGUGAGCCGACUUCGUCAAUCGAAUUACCCAAAUUGCAUCAUGGCCGCCAGUUGAGUGAGGCAAACCGACCACGAAGUCCAUCGAUAUAUCCUCCCAUUUUCAAACGGGGAUUGGUAGGCUUUGCAGUUUUCCCACUGGAAAUCGACGCUCCGCCUUCACUUGUUGGCACACUAAACAUUUCGCCACGAAGCGUCCAACAUCACCCUUCAUUCCAGGCCACUAAUAGUGCAUUUUCAAUCCUUGAUACAUUUUGGUGCCGCCCGGGUGAUCACAAUAAGGCGACCAAUGUGCCUCUUGCAAGAAUAACCUUCGAAUCUCCUCAUUGUUCAGCACACACCAUCGAUUUCGAAAUCGAAGUGCACCAUCGGCGUUUAUUGUGAAAUCGCUGCCACGACCCUUCUCGGUGUCGCGCCGCACCUUUUGGAGUUCUCGGUCUGCGAGUUGCAGAUUCUUGAUCCUCUCCAAUAAGGUCGGUUGGACAACGAGUGCCAUCAUCUGAGCUGGAAUCUCGGGAGUAACCACCUCAAGGUUCAUUCGCUCCAUGUCCAGCCAUAGGGGUGUUUGAUUUGUAACCCACAUAGCGAGUUUCUCUGCAGACUUUCUGCUCAAUGCAUCCGCGACCACAUUCGCUUUCCUCGGGUGGUAAAGGAUAUCCACAUCGUAAUCAUUUAGUAGUCUAACCACCGCCGCUAUCGCAUGUUGAGCUCUUUCUGUGUAAACAGAUAUUUUAGGCUCUUGUGGUCGGUAUAGAUCUCACAAUGGGCACCGUACAGGUAGUGCCUCCACAGCUUCAAGACGAAGAUUACCGCCGCUAGCUCCAAGUCGUGAAUGGGGUAGUUCUUUUCACAGCUCUUUAGCUGACGGGACGCAUAAGCAAUUACUUUCCCGCCCUGCAUCAAAACACACCCCAAUCCUAGAUAGGAAGCGUCGUUAUAGACCACGAAGUCUUCACCCUGCACCGGUAAAGCGAGCACUGGAGUCGAAGUUAGCCUUUCCUUCAACUCUUUAAAACUCCGAUCGCACUCCUCGCUCCAAACGAAUUUAGUGCCUUUCUGAGUCAGACGGGUAAGUGGAAUUACUAUCUUUGAAAAGCCUUCCACGAACCGCCUAUAGUAGCCAGCCAAACCCACGAAGCUUCUAACUUCCGUGACGUUCGUUGAGCGCGGCCAAUCCUUGAUUGCCUCAACUUUCCUCGGGUCUACUGAAACUCCACCCCCAGAAAUCACAUGCCCUAGAAAUGAGACUUCUUGAAGUCAGAAGUCACACUUUUUUAACUUAGCAUAUAGCUUCUCCUCCCGAAGGACUUGAAGCACAAUCCUCAAAUGCUUGGCAUAUUCCUCGUCACUGCGAGAAUAGACCAAUAUGUCGUCUAUGAAGACCACGACAAAUCGGUCCAGGAACUCUCUGAAGGCACGGUUCAUCAAGUCCAUGAACGCCACUGGAGCAUUCAUGAGUCCAAAUGGCAUGACCGUGAAUUCAUAGUGCCCGUACCGCAUACGGAACACAGUUUUCUACAUAUCCUCCGGCUUGAUCUUCAACUGGUGAUAGCCGGACUGCAAAUCUAUUUUUGAGUACACACGACCCCUGCAACUGGUCGAACAAAUCAUCAAUUCAGGGGAGUGGGUACUUAUUCUUGAUCGUGACCUUGUUCAACUCUCGAUAAUCCACGCAGAGUCGAAACGAUCCGUCCUUCUUUCGUACAAAUAACAUCGGGGCUCUCCACGGUGAUACACUUGGUCGGAUGAAUUGCUUGUCGAGGAGGUCCUGUAACUGACUCCUCAAUUCUUUCAGUUCCGCCUGCGCCAUUUGGUACAGAGCCUUCGAGAUCGGCGCAGUGCCGGGAAUCAAGUCUAUGACGAACUCGAUCUCCCGAUCUGGCGGUAUCCCCGGUAACUCCGCGGAAAACACAUCCGGGAACUCCCGCACCACGGAUAACUCCUCCAGGUUCGGAGUCACUCGAUCUACUUCUACAAUAGUUGCCAAGAACGCUACGCAACCGCUGUUGACCAACUUUCUUGCUCUCGCCGCCGACACCGUCGCGGCGAAGCACGAGCUCUGACAAGCCCGAUAAGUGAACUCCUUCUGUCCUGGCUCACGAAACGUAAUCACUCUGCUCUUGCAGUCGAUCGUUGCGUGAUACUUCGAGAGCUAGUCUAUGCCCAGUAUGACAUCGAACUCUUUAAGAUUCUUGAGCUCUAGCAUCCUAAUGGGUAUUAUCCAGUCGCCUACUUGUACUGGACACGAUGAGCAUUCCGUGUAGGCAUUAAAUGUCGACCCAGGGCCCUCAACUCGCCACUUGUCACUCGCCUCUAUGAGUAUGUCAUGCAUGCGUGCGAAUGAUCUGCUGAUGAACGAAUGUGUGGCACCAGUAUCAAACAUAGCCCUGGAGCGAACUCCGUUAAUCAAAACCAUACCUGCCACAAGGCGAUGCUCCUCCGCCUCCGUGGGCUCCUCGGCUUGAACCUGAGCGGCAAAUACACGUCCGCUCGGGGCCGAUCGCGCUAUCUCGGGCUGGCGCAACAUCAUCGCACGUCCCGCCGACACGGCCGUUGGUGGAACUCCUCCAUAGUAGGCCGAAAUCGUCAGCGCCGAUGCAGUGGAUGGGGCAGGUGAGGAUCUUCCUCCUGGGGAAUCCCGUAUAAAGUGCCCCGGUUGCCCGCACUUGUAGCACUUGCCUUGGCGCUGCUCACAACGCGACACCAGGUGGUCUCCACAACAUAUGACGCACCGUCGCGCUCCACUGCCCUUUGGCUGAGUCCGCGGAUACUUCGGGGGCUUCUUGGAACGUGCUUGUGUCACGCCCUGGAUUUCAGCAGAAGCUCACCAGUCACGUGCACAGACCCGCCGUGUACCCCACAACUCAAGUAUACACCAGACGUCUACAAAUAGUAUAGUAAAAGAAUUCAAUUCUAAUUAGGUAAUCAGAGCAAAACUUAAGAGUUUAAACUUAUACAAUUCAAAACCUUAUUACAGUAAAUAAGAACAAAGUACAAUUCACAUAAUCUUAAUAUACAUCACUGACUAAUCUAAUAACUGGUAAAGAUCUUCUAUUUAACAUCAAGAAGGCUCUAGCUAGCCGCUGACCCCUCGCCCGGAACCCUAGCCUUUCCCGCUGUGGAAGGCUCUGUAAAAACAACAACAAAGAGGGUGUGAGAACUAUUAAACAAUAGUUCCCAGUGGGUAAGCCGCCGAGAGUGGCGAAGUACACCACUAGGUCAACUGUGGCAUGAGUUAAUAGCAAUAAAGAAGCAAUUAAAUGCAACAGGUAUGAAAGUAAACUACUCAUGCUAUUUGCUCAACAAUAAAUAAAUAUCAACAGGCUGCAGGUAUUAGUUAUCAUGAUAGAUUCUAUCAUUCAUAGUAAUUGAUAAUUAACUAGGCAUAUACCAGAUUGUAUGCAUGAUAAUUCAUUUUACUGAAAUCACUGAUAAUAUCAUAUAAUAACCUUCUAUGUUAGCAAUAAUGAAACAUACUGUCAUUGUAUUACUAAUCAAUCACGAUGUCAACUUCUAGGUUACUCAUCAAUAAGCUUACUUUAAAUGUCAACUUUCUAGCACAAUCAUCAAUAAGUUACCUUGACCAAAGACAUAAAGUAACUUACUACUAUGUCCAGCUAAGGUUAAAGUACUAAUCAUAACCCAAUUUCCAACAGACUUACACAAGGUAAGUUUAAAGCCGCGCCGUGCCUAAUGGCCCCGUGGUAGUAUACCCUCCCCACGGCAUUCCACUUCGGCGCUCACUUCGUACAUAAGUGAGCAUCUGUCGCUAAGCUACUCCGGAGUGCUGGCUUGGGGGGCGCGACCCCCACAAGCGUGUGCGAAAGAGCACAAUGGCAUACAAGCUGUAAUCCACGGCACAAAUAUCACAACGUCAUCAUGUCAGCAUCAUGUCUCUGACAUGGAAUCUCAACUCGACCCAAGGUCGACACUGUAGUGCCCAAUCGUAAGUCACUAUCCGCAACUUGUUGACAUGAUUCUACCCAUAGCUAGUAUAACUUAAUAAGUUUAAGCUUUACAUCAUGCUAGUGGUUCUAUCAGGCUACACCUGGUCACUCACUCAUAAUCCCCUCACUACUCCUUAUACAUAAGGAAAGUGGUUUACUAAAGUCAUACUCAAAGACUCAUGGCACAUAUCCUGUAGUUCAAUGUAAACCUCCACUACUUAGAGUAAACAAAUACUAUGUAAUUACAUCUACUUGGUUAUACAGUUAUGUUAUCAUAUCCAAAUCUAGUUAUUGACUAGAUUACAUUCACUUGUAAUACAUUCAAGUUAUAUCAUAAUACUAAAUUCUAGUUACUUAACUAGAUCAUAAAACAUAACAUGAAGUUCAGGCCAAUUUAUCAGGUAAAAGUAGAAUCCAACUGGUUAAUAUAAAUAAGCAAAAUACUCGAUAAAAUACUUUUUCACAUCAUCUCAAUACAAUUCAUUCUACACUAUGAACGUAUACUCAAGCGAGCUCAUUUGCACGAUGUGUUCAAAGUACAGCCAUCGUGCUUACAAUAUAAACUUCUAUAGUGUAAUUCCCAAGUACAUCUUAUGCUUUACUGUCCAACUGAACUACAUAUUACAUUCAUGAUUUUCACGAUUAUAUUCUCUUGAAUGACAUCAAGCUCACAUGCCUAUACAAAUUACAAUAUCAUGAAUGCGUAGUAAUCAAAUAAGUGACUAUGUAGAAUGAACAAGUCAUAAGUCUUCCUCUACUGCUUAGAGGUGCUAUUAUAUCCGAUGUGAUAUGUAUAUAAUGCAUGUCUCAAUUCCUUAAACUAUACAUAUAUUCAUGAAUAUGUAAUAACUUCAACUCAAAAUGUCAAAGGAGACAUAGGGGGAAUUCACCCAUUUCGGGAAGGUCCGACCCACCGAUAUACGACGCCUCUUGUCGAGUUAAUAAGCUCGGGGAAUCUGAAGUCUUCAAGUCCCCUAGAUUGAGAUACAGUCGAAUCUACUCUUCAAUCUAGGUAAAAGUACUUAGUACUAAGCUCAACCAGCCCAAAGGAGUCCCGAAAUUCAACUCACUUGAUUCUCAAACCUGCUGUAAACUAGGUAUCAAAAUCGCAUUGCAACUACGGCUACAAUGUCCAAAUUGGCAAAAUCCUCACCUUAUACAAGGUUAUAGCUUGAAUCCCUGAUUUGGUUCAAGUUGUUACAUCGAAGUAAAUCUUCGAAAGCUCUCGGAUAUCAGCUGAGAACCAUUCGACAAUCUGUCGUAAACCUGCUGCGAACAAUGUUCAGAAAUAGCAUUAGUAAUUCGUAAUUGAGGUUCUAUUUCACUUAUAUCAGUUUCUCACUUGUAUCUCGGCUUCCUGCUGAUUGAAAUAUCCUCAAUUCAACCCACCACUGCCAAGUAUUCAGCACCACGUGAGCUUCCAAGCUGCUAUAACAGAAUCAGAAAAACAACAUCACAAUUCCACUAAUAACUCCACUAGAACAUAACCCUAAGGUCGAUACUCAAUUGCUCACCUGUUUAAAACUUAAUUCCAGUUUUCCCCUUGAUUCGAGUGGAGUAAUCCCCAGCCAAAACUAGUUCUACUGCGGCUGCCACUCCCCUUGCCAACUACAACAAGGAAACUUAUUCUUAAGUUAAUCCAUUACUACACACACAAGAAUUUGGUAAUGAAUUACAUAACUUACCUUUCCCAAACUUCAACAUAGAUAAUCCUAGGAUUAAGGUUGAUGAAGCAUCAACAAACUCUUCAUCUACUAAGAAAAAGGCUUCUCCAAAUUCUCUAAAUCAGCAACCUUCAAAGAAGGGAAAGAAAUCAGCUCCAACUCCUUGCUUUCCUCUUAGAGAGAGAAGAAAACCCUAGAGAGAGAAGAGAGAAGCUUCAAAUCUGAUCCUCAGGGUCCUAACACCCCUUAGGUACCCUCUGGAGCCGAGCAGGGGUGUUAGAGAUAAGUUUGGAGAGUAAAAAGACCAAAGUACCCAAGCUGCCACGCAGCUGCUACCUCUGCUGCUUUCUGUACCGGUACAGCCUGAAGGUUGUACCGGUACACCAAUGCAAAAGUGCUGAAUCCGCAAGUGCAAUGCACUUUCUUGUCUCCGACAAUCCGAUCCCUCACAAACUUGUCCAUAAACAUCUUUAAACUCUUUAAAACAUGUAGGGAGGUUCCAAAUGUUAUUCCUCUCACUCGAACUUCGUAAUUGACCAAAUUCAGAGCAUUGCAAUAGAAUUGUGCAUUUGCGAUGUACUUUUCCAUUUCCAGUUAUCUGCUUGCUCCAGUAAUUCGCUGAAGCCUCUCAACAAUCCUUCAAAAGUUAUAGAAGAGUUCCAAUCAUUAUUCCAACCCUCCAAUUCGUAAUUUGCCGAAGUUCAGUGUAUUACAGCUUGUCCCCCCGAACCGCCGCCUUGACGCUUCUUGCCUUUGUCCUUGGACUCGGCCAACAUCUCGUGCUUCUCCCGAACAUGGGCGUCACCGUGCUCCGCCCAGAGUGCUCGGUCGAAGACCUCCGCGAAGGUCGUGAGUUUAAGUAUCUGCACGGCCUUGUAGAUCCCCGGCCGAAGUCCUCGUAAGAACCAGUCGGCCCGAUCCCGGUCAUCUCGUACCACAUCAGGGACAUAGUCAAUGAUGUGGGAGAACUCCUGCUCAUACUCCGCUACUGAGCGGUCCCCUUGCUCCAACUUGCGGAACUUCUCCUGGAGCUUCCGCUUCAAUGUGUCGGGAAAAUAAUUGGCAAACAUCGCCCUCUUGAACUCCUCCCAAAGCAUCGGCAGAAGGCCGGGAAGUCGAUCCCGUUUGACGCGCUUCUACCAGACCUUCACCGCUUUCUCCAAGCAGUGGGUGGCGAGAUACACCCUACCUCUCUCCAAAGUACACAGAUCUUCGAAGAGAGUCUCCAUCGAGUCGAUCCAAGACUCGACCAUCGCCGGCUCCACCUUCUACCCCUCGAAGAUGGGUGGGUUGAACUUCUUGAACUUGAUAAGAGCCGUCAACGCGCGCUCUCCUUCCACGUCUUCGGCCGUCACAUCGGGUGUCGCCGAUCCCGACGCCGCCUGAGGAACAAUUGCUGGCGGUGGACGUGCCGUCACUGGGACAGCCGCUAUACCCUCACCCUCUGCCGCUUCGGGUACACGAGUCGAGGGUGCAGGCGGGCCACCGCCUUCAGUCACCGUCGCGGCCGCUGCCGCAACCUGCCGUUCCAAGAGCUCCUGGAGCCGCUCGAAUCGGGUCUCCUGGCGCUGCACCACAUUGGUCAAUGCGGCCACUUGUGCCUACAACCGAUCCAUCACACUCGGUUCAGCCUGCUCGGGCACCUUAGGAGGCAGUGCCGGAGUAGAUCUCGUACUCGGGCGUCCCCUUGGUGCCAUUUGCUCCUGAAACGCAAUUACUUGGUUAGUUAUCUUAACCCGUUCGCUUCAUCGCAAUUACGACACAUAACGACCCAACAACAAAAAUCGGGCAGAAGCACACAAGUGUCCUCAUUCUAGACUCUUGGCGUCAUGUCGUCGGCCGCCGGCAUAACCACCUCAAGUCAAGAACUAAUACCACUUGAAUCCAUCUCUAGUAACUACUAGAGAUAUGUCAACAACUUAGACCCAAUCGAACUAACUCCCGCCACCGUUACAAGUUCACGUUCCACUCACGCACCUACAGCCUUAGGGUUUACCAACCUAGGGUCUCCUAGGUCAUCCUAGACUUUCUCUCUUUACUUGAUCUUAUUGCUCUGAUACCCCUGCCAAUUUGGCACGGUUCGGGCGCGGCGAACGGACGCCGAACGGGCAGCAACUCUUCUGCCCGCCCAAGGCUCACAACCUGAUCAUGUACAAGAAUUUAUCCAGAAAAAUUAAAUUCAUACAUACACGAUCAACGGGGCACAAAUAGUGCCAACAACGAAGAGCAAAUAAUCCACAAGAUACACAAGUGAAAUAAAGAGAGAACUACUAACUAUUACAUCACAUUUGCAUUCUUUAUACAAUUACAUUUUCUUUCCCAAAAUGAAUAGAUGCUCAUCAAGUACAUGGCUCUCCAAAGUCCUCACCUACAUGAAUCUCUCUCAAAUACAUAGGUGUGCUAAUGCAAAAGAAAAGCUACUACUCUACCAAUAAUCCUCACUGGUCGGGCGCGAUGCCCAUGCCACGGCCCUCGCCCGGCAAACCUGUACCUAGCCCUGGAAAUAAAGUGGGGUGAGAACUAUCUUCCAUAGUUCCCAGUGGGCUCGGCCGCCGACUCCGUCGAUCUCCCCACUAGGUCCAAGUGUGCAAAAGUAACAACGGAACAGAUAGAUAUAUAUAUCAAAGCUGUAAAGACAUAAUAGAAAAACUAUGCUACUAUACCCAUAAUCAUGUGAAAUGAAUGCAUGCAUUAUUUAGUAAAAGUUUACUAUCAUGCUAACAAGUUCGAGCCAUAUUCGAUAAGCAAUGUUCGAUGACAAUAUUAACUUUUCAUUUACCCAAUCUGUGGCGAAACCCUUGGGUUUGCCUACGCCUCACAUAUCCAUCCCAUAGGGUAAGGAAACUCCACGUGCCCCCGAACCCGGGACUGUCUGCGGACAUCAACUCUGUCCUAAUCGCCCGACACUCCGGAGUACUCGACGAUAAUUCCUCUCCAUGUGAGGAUAUGGAUGGCUUUACUAUCCCGAAUAACAGACCGUGAGCUUGAUCUAUCCUCUCCACGUGAGGAUACCCUACGAACUAGGGCCAACAUUCUCUCGGAACUCAUCUAUUCUGACAUUCAUGCAUAAUUACUUAGCUAUACUAAGUUCAUUGGUCAUAAGUCAUUUACUAGGAAAACCACCUAUCCCUAAGUUCAUGAACCUCUAGUGUCAAGUACACUACAUUAAUACCACUCUCUAUGUCACUGAAUAACCAUCGAGUUCAUCUAUUUUUUUUGGCACUAUAGGAUCUAUGUUCCGACUCAAUCCUUACCUAUCCAUUUCACCAAGUAUUCCAUGCACACUAAGUUAACAUUUAGAAGCAUAAGAAAAAGGUACUACAAUGUAAUCCUAUAAUGCAACAUGCAAUAGAAGAAAAUCAUGUAUUUCUAAGACAUAGAAAAGAGCUCGGUUGCUUCGGGAUGACACCCCCACCUUUUGAGGGUACGAAGGUUCUAGAAACACUUCCCAACGAAUGUUACGACGAGGUCUCGGCCUCCUUGGUCCAAAACGGUACUCAAUCGGCUAUAUUUCGCCGAUAGCUUUUCACUCGCUCGACGAAUCGAAAAUCCGAUUUCGCCCCCGCGUUUAGACACCUAUCAAUUUGGUUCACAAGCUAUCAAAUGAGAUCAAUCUCAUUAUUUAUCAAAUACCCCAAUUUGGAGCCCUAGGUUUGUACCAAUAGCAAACCACCAAUAAAUCCCUAAAUUCUAGCUUAAAGCAUCAACUAAUCAUGCUAGGGUUCCAUUUGACCCAUUUCUAAAGCUAGAAAUCCAAAACCCUAGGUUCUACCAUUGUUAGGGUUCAAGAGCUUACCUCUUAAGCUACACCAAAGAGGAUAGGAGAGGGAGGUGAAGGUGUCCAAGGCCUUCUCCUAGAUCUCCUUCUUCUUCUCCAUUUUUCUUUCCUUCUUUUUUUUCCUCCUCUUCUUCUCCUUCUACCUUGCUCAAGAGAGGGAGAGACAUAAAGAGUUUAGUGAGAGAGAGAGAAUGUGAGAGUGAGGGUGAGAAUGAGAAAGAGGAGAAGGCUCAGCCCCUCUAUACCCCUCAACUCAUGGCAUUUUGCAUAAAAACCCCUCUACUUUGCUUCUCUCAACCUGCCCUGCCUAGACAAUUUUCGCGCAGAGGGACCGGUCGAUCAACGAGAGGACCUGUCCCCGAGAGCAAUUCCCCGCAACACAUGUACGGGAAUCGGUCCUUGCUCGAUAGACCGGUUGCAUCGAGCGCCUGCCGCAACCCUCAGCUACGGGAACCGGUCCCUGGUGGAGGGACCGGUCCUCGAGAGCAGUUUUGCGCAGAUCUCCCCUCUGCCAGAAUUCAUGCUUGCGGGAACUAGUCCCCGCCGCCAGGGACCAGUCCCCGAGAGCAGAAUCUGCCAAGUGCAGAUUUUGCAUCAUUUGCUCUCGCAGACUCGACUCUAAAGCACUUUUUGUAUUUUGGACAUCUUUAGCUCCUCCGAAGCCUACCCACUCGACAAUUAGCCGAUCCUGGACGAAGUCCAACUCUCGGAUUUCGAGAAUUCAUUUCCUUACAGACAGACAGGGGAGAUGCUGUCCGUUCGGCGUCUGUUGACGUGACCCGAACCCGACCAAAUUGGCGGGGAUUGGGGCGUGACAUUUGGGGUCCUGCUCCUAUUUCUACACGUAUUGGUAAUCGAUACUAUGUGAUCUUUUGGAUGACUAUUCUCGUUUUACCUGAAUAUAUUUCAUGAACAACCGGUCUGAACUAUUGCAAAUAUAUAAAAAUUUUACAGUUAUGAUUCAAAAUCAAUUUGGUACAAAUAUUAAAAUAUUUCGUUCAGACUCUGGUGGUAAAUAUCUCUUCUGAAUUCAGACAAAUUGUUGCAAGUCAAGGCACCUUACCUCAGCUUUCUUGCCCAUAGGCUCAUAAGCAAAAAGGGUUGCUGAAAGAAAGCAUCGUCAUAUCAUGGACACUGCUCGGUCUCUUCUUUUUUAUGGUUCUGUUCCUUCAAUUUUGGACCGAUGCUGUCAAUACAGCUAUUUACUUAAUCAACAUUAUGCCUUCUAGUGUUGUUUCAGGUGUCUUUCCUAGUGCGUGGUUGUUUGCCAAGCCUCCUUCAUAUGAUCACCUGCGAGUCUUCGGUUGCACUUGUCUUGUUUUGCUACCUCCUCACGAACGAAAUAAAUUGUCUCCUAAAUCUGCUAUUUGUAUCUUUCUAGGGUAUAGUCUUGAGCGUAAAGGGUAUCACUGCUAUGAUCCUAACACGAGACGUCUUCGAAUUUCUCGUGAUGUGAUUUUCUUUGAGCAUCUUCUCUAUUAUGCCCAACCCGCACAAGCCACUGCAAUUUCUCCCUCUACCCAUAUCGAUUUUUUUCUUUUUAUAUAAUUCUUUUCCAGUGUAUUCCUCUUCCCAUGAGAACUCUAUCUCUCCUAAUACCUCUCUUGCAGAUGAAAGUGAAGUUCAUGCCUCUCAUGAUGGUCCUUCCGUCGAAGCUCCAUCCGACAAAUCUCCGACAUCCGUGCGUCGCUAUCCCCUUUGAGAGCGCCAGCCCAAAAGGUUCUUUGGUUGUGUUACCUCACAUUCUCUUUCUCUGCAUUUUCAUACCUUUCUUGCUAACCAUCCAUACUCACCCGGAACCACGAACAUACCGCCAAAGUGCGACCAUUCUUGAGUGGCAAGAUGCUAUGUCUGAAGAACUUAAGGCUCUCAACCACACCGGUACCUGGAAGCUUGUUCCCCUUCCUCCAGGAAAGGUUUCAAUCAGUUACAAAUGGAUCUACAAAGUUAAGACAAAGUCUGAUGGUUCUAUUGAUCGCUCUAAGAGUCGCUUAGUUGCUCACGGCUUUACUCAAGAGUAUGGCAUCGAUUACGAGGGGACAUUUGCUCCGGUUGCUAAAAUGACAUUCGUUCGCGUUCUUAUCACUGUUGCUGCCUCUCGUGGUUGGCUGUUAUAUCAACUUGAUGUUAAAACUGCUUUUUUACAUGGUGAUCUUCACGAAGAAGUUUACAUGCAACCACCUCCUAGCCUUAAUCAUCCGCCUGGUCAUGUCUACUUACUUCGCAAGGCGUUGUAUGGUCUUAAACAAGCUCCUCGCGCUUGGUUUGAGAAGUUCUCGGCUGCCGUUAUCUCUGCUGGUUUUCGUUAGAGUGAGAAUGACCAUGCAUUUAUUACUGUUUUACUUCUCUACGUUGAUGAUAUGAUUAUCACUGGUGAUGAUCCCGAUUUUAUACAUUUUACCAAAUCUUUCUUUCAACGUCAAUUUGAAAUGAAGGAUCUCGGGCUCCGCCAUUAUUUUCUAGGUAUUGAAGUAGCCUACGAUUCUAAAGGCUAUCUACUAUCUCAACGGAAGUACACAGUGUAUCUCAUCUCUUGUGCUGGUCUUACUGACAAUAACACAGUAAAUACUCCAAUGCAUGUCACGCCCCGCCCCGAAUCCACUACCAAUUUGGCACGGUUCGGGCACGCCGGACGGACCGCCGAACGGACAGCACCUCUCCUGUCCGCCCAAGGCCAAGCAACCAGAUCACGUACAAGAAUUUGCCCAGGAGAAUAAAUUCAAUAUAUACAUGAUCGACUAAGGCACACAAGUGCCAAGUAACUAAGAGCAAGAACCACAAGUGGAUGUACAAGUGUAUAAAGAGAGACAGUCUAACUAUUACAACCAUUCAACAUUUACAUCAUUGAAUAUAUUACAUUUCCACCUUCCAAAAUCUAAAUACAUGUUUUCCUCAAAAUAUAUAGGUAGCUCUCCAAUAUCUAUCCAAAAUAUCAUCUAGUACACGAGGGUACUCUAAUAAAUAAAAGGAAAAGCUACUAACUAAGCUCACUUAGGGUGCUAAGCCCUUGCCGCGGUCCCCGCUCGACUCGCCUCUGUGUGUACCUGUACCCCAAAACCACACGGGGUGAGAACUAUAUAAAUAUAGUUCCCAGUGGGUUCGGCCGCCAACGCUGCUGGUUUUCCCACUAGGUCUAAGCUGGCACAGAUAGAGAGAUAGAUAGAUAUACGUAGAAAAUGAACUGCAACUACUCUAUCAUGCCAUCAAUGAUAAUAAUGGAUGCAACAACUACUAUCAUGCUAGUAUCAUGUCAUGAGUAUAUAAAGGUGCAUAGUAAUGUAAACUACAACAUACACUAUGUCUACUCAAGGCAAUAAUGCAAGUCUACUAUACAUUUCAUGUUUAUUACCCAAUUUACUUGGUUAACCCGUAGGUUAAACCCUCGACUCACUCUCAAUCUCAUAGGUGAGGAGAAACUGCACUCGCACACCGAGACCGUCUGCGGGACAACUACGUCUGCCCCUAGUGAAGUACUCCGGAGACUCGUGCCUCGGUGGAGCGACCACCGACAAGCAAAAACAGACUAGUUAGUAUGAUCCAAUCCUCACAAAAGGAUACCCUGUCUACUAGGGUCAAUGUGCCUCUGCUGCACAAUCAUGAUAUAUAAUCCAUGUCGGGACUUCUACUAUCCCUAAGUUCAUGUCAAGUUUACUACACUAGACUCGAUGCCACUCAUUCGAUCAUUGUAGUAAGUUUUCUACUAGUUGACAUGCCACUCGUUCAAAUUUAGUGUUUCUACUACACUAGUUCAAUGCCACUCUACUAGACUAUGUCCAAGUUCGGCUCUCUAUGCCGCUAUAGGAUUCUAUGUCACAAGACCCAAUCCUCAUGCUAUCCUAGUCCACGUAUCAAGCUCACCCCGCUACACUACUAAGUAAGCAUGCAAGGAAAUGGAAAUGUACAAUUACUAUAUCCUAUAGCACAAUAUGAUCAAUAUAAAUACUUAGACAUAAAAAGAAACCCGGAUGUUUCGAGACGACACCCUCCACCUCUUGGUGAUGUCUUGAAGCUACGAUUCCGUUUCCAAGAUUUUUGGAAGCUUUCGCCGCGUGCUGUGGCAAUCUGUACCCUAGCGGCUUAGAUCUUCGAUAUCUCCGCGUACACUCGUCGGAUUGCCGAACCGAGCGCACCGUUGUGUCGAAAUACCUACCAAUUAGGUUAGAUGAUGGUCAAAUGAGAUCAAUCCUUUACUUUUCCAAAAACCCUCUUUUGGUGCCCUAGGGUUAGCAUCAAGCUAAACCCAUCUCAAAACCCUAGAUUCUAGCUCCAAUCCUACCAUUCAUUGUGCUAGGAAUCCAUUUGAUCCCAUCCAAAGAGCUAAAACCCAAAAACCCUAAAUUCAUAAGCUAGGGUUGGAAGCUUACAUCUAGGUUAGCUUAAAAGAGAGAGAAGAGGAUGAGGGCGAAGUCCAAAAGCUUGCUUUUGUUGGUCUCCUUCUUCUUCUCCUUCCCUUUCUUCCUUCUUUUCCUUCUCUUUUCCUUUUCUUCUUCUUCUUCUUCUUUCCCUUCUAUAGAGAGAGAGAGAGCAAGAGAGUGUGAGGGGGAGAGAGAGUAGAAUGAGAGAGUGAGAGGGAGAGAGGGGCUAAUAAGCCCUCUAAUGUAACAAUAUCCCAGCAGCCCCCUCCACUUUUCAUCCUAUGCACUGCCCCUCACUGGGCAUUCUGCGCCCAGAGGGACCGGUCUCCCCGACUUGGGACCGGUCCCCGAGAGCUUCAGCUCGGGUCACGCGUUCGGGUACCGGUCUCUCCCAGAGAGACCGAUCCUCGGGAGACCGGUUCCUUCCUGAGAGACCGGUUCCCGAGAACUGGGAUUUCAGGACUUAGCCAUAUUUUGGCUUUUCUCGCUGGUCUCGCGUUCGGGGACCGGUCCCUCACUGCCAGGGACCGGUUGCCUCAAGCAACCCCGCAACUCCCACUGAUGGGACCGGUCCCUCCCUGCCAAGGACCGGUCCCCGAGAGCAGUUUUGCUCUAGUGCAGGUUUUGCACUAUUUGCUCUCGUGGACUCGUUUCCAAUGCACUUUUGGUGAUUAUGAUAUCUUUGGCUUUUCCAAAGCUCACCAAUACGACCCUUGGUCGAUUCUGGAUGAAGUCUAAUCCUCGUAUUUCGAGAAUUCACUUCCUCACAUCCUCCCCUCCUAAAAAGGAGUUUCGUCCUCGAAACGAAUUUACUAUUUUAAUCAACUCCUACCUCAUUGCAUUUCUGUAAAGAGAUGAGGAUAGUGCGCUUUCAUCGUUUCCUCGAGUUCCCACGUGGCCUCACGAUCGUCGUGACCGGUCCAACGAAUCUUCACAUAGGAAAUUUCAUGAUUUCUCAAUUUCCGCACUUCUCGAGCAAUGAUCAUCGCCGGGAACUCUUCAUAGCUUAAAUCCUCUUGUAGAUCCGGCGGUUCAUAGUACAUCACGUGCUCGGGAUCGUGGAUAUACUUGCGAAGGUUAGAAACGUUGAAUACAUCAUGCACACCCGCGAGCUUCGGCGGUAAUGCAAGUCGGUAUGCUACCGCUCCAACACGUUCCAACGCCUCGAAAGGUCCGAUAUAUCGGGGACUUAGCUUUCCCCGCACUCCGAAGCGCUUCACACCUCUCAUAGGUGAAACCUUCAAGAAAACGCGGUCACCCACCGCGAAUUCCAAAUCUCUACGGCGUUUGUCAGAAUAGCUCUUUUGCCUCGACUGUGCCGUAAGUAGUCUCUCGCGAGCGAGAUAGACCUUCUCUUCUGCCUCCCGCAAUACGUCUGGGCCCAAUGCCGCAUGCUCACCCACAUCGCUCCAACAUAUAGGAGAUCCGCACUUCCGUCCAUAUAGGACCUCGAACGGUGCCAUCCCAAUGCUAGCUUGAUAACUGUUAUUGUAGGCGAACUUGGCAAUCCUCAAAUGGUUUGCCCAACUACUCUUGUAGUCAAUGACACACGCCCGCAACAUAUCCUCCAGAAUCUGUAUAGUCCUUUCUGACUGUCCGUCUGUCUGAGGAUGAAACGCGGUGCUGAAAUCGAGCCGUGUGCCAAGUGCUUCCUGCAGGCUUUUCCAAAAGUGCGAAGUAAAACGGGGGUCUCGAUCUGACACGAUCGACUUCGGAAUCCCGUGCAACCUCACAACUUCAUCCAAGUAUACCUGCGCCAACUUGUCGCCCGACCAGGUGGUGUGAAUCGGUAGAAAGUGUGCCGACUUGGUCAUACGAUCCACAAUCACCCAGAUCGCGUCGUGGCCACCCGUCAAACGGGGCAAUCCGACCACGAAGUCCAUCGCUAUAUUCUCCCAUUUCCAAACGGGAAUAGGUAAACUUUGGAGCUUUCCCGCUGAAAAUCGGCGCUCAGCCUUCACUUGCUGGCAUAUUAAACAUUGCGCUACAUAGCGCCCAAUAUCCGCUUUCAUGCCCGGCCACCAGUACUGCAUCUUCAGAUCACGGUACAUCUUGGUGCCGCCCGGGUGAAUGCUAUAAGGAGUCCGAUGUGCUUCUUGUAAGAUCAACUUCCGGGCCUCCUCGUUUUUCGGUACGCACCAUCGGUUCCGAAAUCGAAGCGCACCCUCGGCGUCUAUAUUGAAAUCACCGCCGUGUCCACUUUCGAUGUCUCGCCGCACUUUUUGGAGGUUAGGGUCUGCAGGUUGCAAACUCUUGAUCUGCUCCAACAAGGUCGGUUGGACAACGAGAGCCGUAAGCAUAGACGGAAUUUCCGGAGCUACCACCUCUAGAUCCAAUCAUUCCAUCUCUCUCCAUAGUGGUUCUUGACGUGUGACUAACAUAGCAAGAUUCUCCACUGACUUCCUGCUAAGCGCUUCGGCCACCACGUUUGCUUUUCCGGGGUGGUAUAGGAUUGUAACAUCGAAAUCCUUUAGCAACUCAAACCACCGCCGCUGCCGCAUAUUAAGCUCUUUCUGUGUGAAAAGGUACUUCAGACUUUUGUGGUCCGUGUAUAUCUCGCAACGCGCGCCAUACAGGUAGUGCCUCCAUAGCUUGAGGGCAAACACUACGGCGGCCAACUCUAAGUCAUGGACAGGGUAGUUCUUCUCAUAGCUUUUCAAUUGACGGGACGCAUAAGCGAUCACCUUCCCGCCUUGCAUCAGAACACACCCUAAGCCCGAUUGUGACGCGUUGCUAUACACCACAAAGUCUUCAUCUUGCACCGGUAAGGCGAGCACCGGAGUCGAAGUUAAUCUAUCCUUCAACUCUUGAAAACUCCGGUUGCACUCGUCAUUCCAAAUGAACUUGGUGCCUUUUCGAGUCAGAUGGGUAAGUGGACCCACGAUCUUCGAGAAUCCCUCCACGAACCGUCUAUAAUAACCCGCUAAACCUACAAAGCUUCGAACUUCCGUGACGUUAGUCGGGCGAGGCCAAUCCUUGAUCGCCUCCACUUUCCUCGGGUCAACAGAUACUCCUCCCUCGGAAAUGACAUGCCCAAGAAAUGCAACCUCUCGGAGCCAAAAGUUGCAUUUCUUAAACUUAGCAUAUAGCUUCUCCUCCCGGAGGACUUAAAGCACUAUUCUCAAAUGCUCGGCAUGUUCCUCGUCGCUACGCGAGUAGACUAAGAUGUCGUCUAUGAAGACCACGACAAAUCGGUCCAAGUACUCCUUGAAGACACGGUUCAUUAGAUCCAUGAACGCUGCCGGGACGUUAGUGAGCCCAAACGGCAUGACCGUGAAUUCAUAGUGUCCGUACCGCGUGCGAAAUGCGGUCUUUUGCACAUCUUCCGGUUUGAUCUUAAGUUGGUGAUAACCGGACUGCAGAUCGAUCUUUGAAUAAACCCGAGACCCUUGCAACUGAUCAAACAGAUCGUCAAUUCUCGGCAACGGGUACUUAUUCUUGAUCGUGACCUUUUUCAACUCGCGAUAGUCGACGUAGAGUUGAAACGAUCCAUCCUUCUUUCGCACAAAUAGAACCGGGGCUCCCCACGGCGAUACACUUGGCCGUAUAAAUCCUUUAUCAAGGAGAUCCAAUAAUUGAGCCCGCAAUUCCUUCAAUUCCGCCGGCGCCAUCCGAUACGGAGCCUUCGACACAGGCGCGGUUCCUGGAACCAAGUCUAUCACGAACUCGAUCUUCCGGUCUGGCGGCAUUCCCGGCAACUCCGCGGAAAAUACAUCAGAAAAUUCCUGAACCACGGAUAGUUCCUCAAGUGCCGCAGUCGCCCUCUCGACUUCCACAACAGUCGCCAAGUAGGCCGUACAACCGCCGUUAAUCAACUUCCUCGCCCUCGUCGCCGAUACCAUAGCGGCGAAGUGCGAGCUUCUAUAGGCCCGGUAGACAAAUUCCUCUUGUCCCGGUUCACGAAACGUAAUCACUUUACUUCUACAGUGAAUAGUUGCAUAGUACUUCGAAAGCCAAUCCAUUCCUAGAAUGACGUCGAAGUCUUUCAACUUCUUGAAUACCAACAUACGGAUGGGCAUUAUCCAAUCGCCCAACCGCACGGGACAAGACGAACACUCCAUACGUACUAGAAAAUCACGUCCGGGGCCCGAUACUCUCCAAGUGCUUUUACUCUCUUGUAGUUCUAUGUCAUGCAUGCGUGCAAAUGACCUACUGAUGAAUGAAUGCAUAGCACCUGUAUCAAACAUAGCCCUAGAGCGAACUCCGUUAAUUAAAACCAUACCUGCGAGUACAUGGCGAUCCUCCGCCUCAGCAGGUUCCUCGGCUUGAGUUUGAGCGGCAAACACCCGCCCACUCAGAGCCGAUCUCGUCGCCUCAGGUUGGCGUGGCACCAUCGCACGUCCGGCCGAUGACGCAGCAGGUGGGACUCCUCCAUAAUGCGCUGGGGUCGCCGGAGCCGACGCGACCAAAGGGGCAGGCGAAGCCCUCAUUCGACAGUGGCGGCUGAUAUGGCCCGCCUGUCCACACGUGAAGCACUUUCCCUCCCGUUGAUCACACAUCCUCGGCUCGUGGUUCCCACCGCAGAUUAUGCACCGCUGCGGUCCGCGGCCCUUGGAUUGCGUUCGCGGGUACUUCGGGGGCUUCCUUGGCCUCGAUUGAGCUCCCGAGCUACUCUGAGCCCGCUUCUUGCCACCGUCCUUCUCGGACGCUUCUCGCUCCUCCCGGAUGUGAGCGUUUCCUUGCUCCGACCACAACGCUCGAUCGAGCACCUCCGCGAAGGUAGUGAGCUUCAGAAUGUGCAACGCCCGGUAGAUAUCGGCCCGGAGCCCUCGCUCGAACCAAUCGGCUCGAUCCCUGUCAUCCCGCACUACGUCGGGGACGCAGUCAAUGAUGUGAGAGAACUCCUGCUCAUAUUCCGCCACCGUGCGGCCACCUUGCUUCAACUUUCGAAAUUGCUCUUGCUUCUUCUUCUCGCUAUCGGGGAAGUAGUUGACAUAGAACAAUCCCCGAAAUUCCUCCCACGUCAUCGGCGGAAGGUCGGAAGCCCGGUUCCUCUUGAUUCGCUUCCACCAAACCUUCGCCGUUUGCUCCAAACAAUGAGUGGCGAGGUAGACCUUGUCCCUCUCUGAGGUGUAGAGGUCCUCGAACAAGGUCUCCGUCGAGUCCACCCAUGACUCGACCAUCCAUGGCUCGACCUUCUCUCCCUCGAAGGUCGGUGGAUUAAACCUUCGAAACUUCUCGAGAGCCGCAAGUGCGCGGUCCCUCUCCGCCUCCAAUGCCGUCGUAUCGGGUGCCGUAGAACCCGACGCCGCCAGAGGAACGCUCGCCGGCGGGGGACGUGCCGCCACCGGAACUGCCGCAAUGCCCUCGCCCUCAGCCGCCGUAGGCGCACGAGCUGGAGGCGGGGGCGGAUCACGGCCCUCAGUCGCAGCUGCAGUUGCCGCUGCAAAAUGCCGCUCCAUAAGCCCUUGGAGCUGCUCAAACCGACUCUCCUGGCGCUGUACAAUGCCUGUUAAUGCCGACACUUGCGCCCGUAACUCCCUCACUUCACUAGAUCCGGCUUCCUCGGGCACCUCAGGAGAUGGUGCCGGAACGGACCUACGCACGUAGCGUCUUGGGGACAUUGUUCCUGCAACGCAACAACCGGGUUAGUCAUCUAACCCACUUAUCUCCGUCGCAUACACUAUAUUACGCGACACAACUCCGCCAUAAGCGGACGUACACAUGUAUUAGUCCUAACUCUUAGCGUCGUGUUGUCGGCCGCCAACACAACUCCGCGACCUUGGAACUAACACCGCUCGGAUCCAUCUCUAGCCACACUAGAGGUCUACACUCGAUCCGACCUAAUCGGAUUCUUCCUCAACCGAUAUAGGUUUACGUUCCUCUCACGUACCUAUACAACCCUAGGGUUCACCGUCCUAAGGUCUCUUAGGUCCAUCCUAGACCCUCUCUUUACUUGCUCUUAAUUGCUCUGAUACCAACUUUCUUUUGUCAUGCCCCGCCCCGAAUCCACUACCAAUUUGGCACGGUUCGGGCGCGCCGGACGGACCGCCGAACGGACAGCACCUCUCCUGUCCGCCCAAGGCCAAGCAACCAGAUGAUGUACAAGAAUUUGCCCAGGAGAAUAAAUUCAAUACAUACAUGAUCGACUAAGGCACACAAGUACAAAGUAACUAAGAGCAAGAACCACAAGUGAAUGUAUAAGUGUAUAAAGAGAGAUAGUCUAACUAUUACAACCAUUCAAUAUUUACAUCAUUGAAUAUAUUACAUUUCCACCUUCCAAAAUGUAAAUAUAUGUUUUCCUCAAAAUAUAUAGGUAGCUCUCCAAUAUCUAUCCAAAACAUCAUCUAGUACACGAGGGUACUCUAAUGCAUAAAAGGAAAAGCUACUAACUAAGCUCACUUAAGGCGCUAAGCCCUUGCCGCGAUCCUCGCUCGACUCACCUCUGUGUGUACCUGUACCCCAAAACCACACGGGGUGAGAACUAUAUAAAUAUAGUUCCCAGUGGGUUCGGCCGCCGACGCCGCCGGUUCUCCCACUAGGUCUAAGCUGGCACAGAUAGAGAGAUAGAUAGAUAUACGUAGAAAAUAAACUGCAACUACUCUAUCAUGCCAUCAAUGAUAAUAAUGCAUGCAACAACUACUAUCAUGCUAGUAUCAUGUCAUGAGUAUAUAAAGGUGCAUAGUAAUGUAAACUACAACAUACACUAUGUCUACUCAAGGUAACUAGUUCAAUGCCACUCUACUAGACUAUGUCCAAGUUCGGCUCUCUAUGCCGCUAUAGGAUUCUAUGUCACAAGACCCAAUCCUCAUGCUAUCCUAGUCCACGUGUCAAGCUCACCCCGCUACACUACUAAGUAAGCAUGCAAGGAAAUGGAAAUGUACAAUUACUAUAUCCUAUAGCACAAUAUGAUCAAUAUAAAUACUUAGACAUAAAAAGAAACCCGGAUGUUUCGAGACGACACCCUCCACCUCUUAGUGAUGUCUUGAAGCUACGAUUCCGUUUCCAAGAUUUUUGGAAGCUUUCGCCGCGUGCUGUGGCAAUCUGUACCCUAGCGGCUUAGAUCUUCGAUAUCUCCGCGUACACUCGUCGGAUUGCCGAACCGAGCGCACCGUUGUGUCGAAAUACCUACCAAUUAGGUUAGAGGAGGGUCAAAUGAGAUCAAUCCUUUACUUUUCCAAAAACCCUCUUUUGGUGCCCUAGGGUUAGCAUCAAGCUAAACCCAUCUCAAAACCCUAAAUUCUUGCUCCAAUCCUACUAUUCAUGGUGCUAGGGAUCCAUUUGAUCCCAUCCAAAGAGCUAAAACCCAAAAACCCUAAAUUUCAUAAGCUAGGGUUGGAAGCUUACCUCUAGGUUAGCUUAAAAGAGAGAGAAGAGGAUGAGGGAGAAGUCCAAAAGCUUGCUUUUGUUGGUCUCCUUCUUCUUCUCCUUCCCUUUCUUCCUUCUUUUCCCUCUCUUUUCCUUUUCUUCUUCUUCUUCUUCUUUCCCUUCUAGAGAGAGAGAGAGCAAGAGAGUGUGAGGGAGAGAGAGAGAGUAGAAUGAGAGAGUGAGAGGGAGAGAGGGGCUAAUAAGCCCUCUAAUGUAACAAUAUCCCAGCAGCCCCCUCCACUUUUCAUCCUAUGCACUGCCCCUCACUGGGCAUUCUGCGCCCAGAGGGACCGGUCUCCCCGACUUGGGACCGGUCCCCGAGAGCUUCAGCUCGGGUCAUGCGUUCGGGUACCGGUCUCUCCCAGAGAGACCGGUCCUCGGGACACCGGUUCCUUCCUGAGAGACCGGUUCCCGAGAACUGGGAUUUCAGGACUUAGCCAUUUUUUGGCUUUUCUCGCUGGGCUCGCGUUCGGGGACCGGUCCCUCACUGCCAGGGACCGGUUGCCUCAAGCAACCCCGCAACUCCCACUGAUGGGACCGGUCCCUCCCUGCCAAGGACCGGUCCCCGAGAGCAGUUUUGCUCUAGUGCAGGUUUUGCACUAUUUGCUCUCGUGGACUCGUUUCCAAUGCACUUUUGGUGAUUAUGAUAUCUUUGGCUUUUCCAAAGCUCACCAACACGACCCUUGGUCGAUUCUGGAUGAAGUCUAAUCCUCGUAUUUCGAGAAUUCACUUCCUCACAAUGCAACUUCAUCAAAAACUAACUCCUACCAUGGGUGAGCCACUUUCAAAUCCUACACGCUAUUGGGAGUUAGUUGGAGCUCUUGUUUAUCUCACCAUCUCUCGUCCAGAUAUUGCUUAUGCUGCCCACAUAGUAAGCCAGUUUGUGCAGGAACCAACUUUUGUUCACUAUGCUGCUGUUUUUCGCAUUUUCCGCUAUCUUCACGGCACUAUUAACCAGAGUCUUUUCUUUUCUUCUACCUCGGAACUUGCACUCCGAGCUUAUUCUGACGCUGAUUGGGCUGGGGACCAUACUGAUCGUCGAUCUACCACGAGUUAUUGCAUUUUUCUUGGUGACUAGCUUAUUUCAUGGCGAGCUAAGGAGCAGAAUAUUGUCUCCAAAUCUAGUGUCGAAGCUGAGUAUCGUACUAUGUCUACUACAGCUUCUGAGAUUGUUUGGCUUCGUCGUCUUCUUGGUGAUAUUGGCAUUACUUGCUCUACUCUGACAUCUCUGUAUUGUGACAAUCAAAGUGCAAUCAAGAUUGAUAAUAAUCCGGUAUUUCAUGAAUGCACUAAAAAUAUUGAAAUUGAUUGUCACUUCGUUCGACAUCAUUUUUUUAAUGGCACACUUGCCUUACCUUUUAUAUCUUCUUAUCUCCAGCUUGCCGACUUCUUCACAAAGUCUCAUACCAUACAACGACAUUAAUUUCUUUUAUCCAAACUUUCGCUGCUUAACUCACCUUGAGUUUGCAGGGGGGUGUUACCAUAUAUAUUACAUACCAUAUAUAUCUUAUAUAUGUUGCCAUAUAUAUAUUAUAUAUAUACCACCAUUUAUAUUAUAUAUGUUACUAUGUAUAUUGCUUUCUUAUUAAGAUAGUAAUAUUUCUAUAUCCUUUUGAUUAUUUCUUUGUAUAAAGGAUACAAUCCUGUACUUUCAUGUGAAACAUUUUUUUCUCUCGCUGUAUAAGAGAAUGGAUUUAGAUGAAUAACAUAGAGAAAAUUUCUCAAUUCUCUUGUUUCACUCCCCAAGUCAAAUUUUAAAUUUUUAAAUUUUAAACUUUAAAUUUUAUGAAUUCUAUGAAAUUUUAUAAUUGUGCAUCCAAACAGGGCCUUACUUUACAAAAUAGUCCCAUAUGAAAUUAGUAAAUAAGAAUUUGACAAAUUGUCUUAUUUGAAGAUUUGAUAUUUGCUAUUGUGUUCAAACUUACAAAUUUAAAGUUUUUAAGCUUAAUAGAUUUCAAUCGAUAUGACACAUCUUUGGCCUCCUGAGCCGUUGAAACUACUAAAAGAUAAAAGUGCUAAUAAUUAUAGUAUUGGGAAAAGCGUCACAAAAUUGUGUUUUUUUGUAUUUAUAUUCCACGCUUCCUAUCAUAUAUAUUUAGGCUAGGGACUUUUUAAUAGGCCUAAAACAUAAACUUGAAUUAAAUUAAUGUCUUUGGACUUAGAAACUUUUUGAUAAGCCUAAGAUACGAAUUUAAGUUAAAUAAGAGAAAAUUAAAUAACACUAGAAACUUGAUUAAAUUCGAGAAUUUAAGUUAAGCAUAUUAGGAAUGUUUAGCAAUACUAUAAGGGUGCGUUUGGUUCAAGUUAUCCUGACGGGAUUACAGGCAAUCCUGUCGGGAUUACCGUGUUUGGUUCAUCCACUCUGUAAUUAGUCGUUAAUACAGCAUUACAAAUCGAGCAGGAUUACACCGAAAAUAUUAACGAGAGAGGGGUCGUGUAUCUUACAUUACUGAAAACCGGUAAUACUAUAUAUUAUGUAAAAUGAUAAUUUUACCCUUUAACUCUCGAAACGCUUUCAAUACGUUAUUUUAAAAAAAAUAAUUUAAAAUUUUGAAUUCUCAACUUUUAAUUUUUAAUUUUUAAUUUUCAAAUUUAAAUUUUUAAAUUUUAAAUUUUAAACUUUUAAACUUCAAAUUUAAAUUUUAAAUUUAAAUUUUAAAUUUUAAAUUAAAUUUAAAAUUUUAGAUUUUAAGUUUUAAGUUUUAAAUUUUAAAUUUUAAAUUUCAAAUUUCUCAGAUUUUUUUUAAAUUUCAAAUUUCUCAGAUUUUUUUAAUUUCUCAGAUUUUUUUCAAAUUUCAAAUUGCAAAUUGCAAAUUGUAAUUUCAAAUUGUAAUUUCAAAUUUCAAAUUUCAAAAUACAAUGUGGUAUAUGAGGUGUAGUUAUAUGCAUUGUGCGAAAUACAAUGUGGUAUAUGAGGUGUAGUUAUAUGCAUUGUGUAGGUUGUUAUNUCUGAAUUUAAAUUUUGAAUUUCAAAUUUAAAAUCUAAAUAUAAAAUCUUAAAUUGAAAAUUUAAGAUUUAAAAUUUAAAAUUUACAUUUUAAAAUUUAAAAUUUAAAAUUUAAAAAUUUAAAUUAUUUUAAAAAAAAUUGGUAAAAAAAUAUUGUUUGUAAACAGUAAAAAAAAGUUUACGAAAUAUAACUAAGGAUAAUUUUGAAAUAAACUAUACUUUAUUGUCUAGAUUACUAAAUUUUAUAAACAGAACCAAACAUAAUAACGCUAUAAAUACUGCAAUCUAGUAUUACAUUACUGUAUUAAACUAAACGCACUAAUAUAGUAUGAGUAGUAAUCUCAUUUAGAAAUCCAAAAUAUCUGGAUAUAUCGAAAUACUCUGUAAUAUAACAUAACUCGAAUCAAACGGGCCCUAAGAUAAAAGUAGUGAAUGACUUACUGCUUUAUGACAAAACAAUUUAGCCAUUUUUCUUUUAUUUCCAAGUAUGAGAAUGAGAGAUUUAAAAUUCUCUGGUAAGAGGAGCGAAUGCAUUAAUUAUCCAACUAAUGCAAGGUACGUGGCUUGGCGAAACCUUGCAAUUUUGACGGUCGAUAUGAUAUUACGUAUUGCAAAUGAUGUAACAUCUUAUUUCUAUGUAGCAUGGUGAACUUUGGGUGAUCCUAUGUGCCACGCGUAGGUUGGAUUUCGCAGAACUUGGCCUAAAAUAGGCUCGAAACAAUUUUGAUUCCUAGACCUUAAAUCAAACACAACACAAAUUGGCCGAAAAAUGCGACAAAUUUUGUUCAUUUCUGAGUCGGCCUGCUGGCCCGAUGGACCGGCAUGCCUCAUGUACAUUCCUAGGAAAAGUUGGUGAAUACAUGGGAAAAGAUUUAAGUUUCAGAAUAUGUCAUGGAUGUUUUUAUUUUAUUUUUUUAUUUUUAUUUUUUUGGUGGUUGCUUAAAACAAGGAUGAGAUUUGGAAGAAUUCGGCCAAUGAAUAAUAAUAAUAAUAUUAAUAAUAAUAAGUGCAAGGCUAGCUUUGGAGGGUAGAUGGUCACUAGGGACUAGUUGACUUCGAUUGCUAGUGAUGUUGGGCAUCAUCUAUACUAUCUUUGAAUUGUGAAUCCAAAAAUGGUACGGCAGUCCUCUCUGCGAUCGGAGCCUUCGGGCGAGAGCGGGCGCGGGCGCAAGCGCGAGCGGGUGAGCAGGCGCAGGCGAGCCGCACGGGCGAGCCGGCUCGGAUGACGCGGGCGCAGCGCGAGCCCGGUGCGACGACACCGAGCCCGCGCAAGACAAGCCUUUUUUUUUUUUUUUUUCCUUUUUCCUGUGGAACUAGGGAUUAAUGUGGGCCGUGUCGGGCCGACACGGCCCACAUUUAUCCGGGCCAAAAUGGCCGAGGCCAGCCCAGCAGCGCCCAUCCAAAAGUUGGGCUGUGUUUUGUGCCGCCAAAGUUCUGGACCUCAGCCCGGAUGUACGGGCCGAGCCUUGCUUCGGCCAGCCCUUUUUCAUCUUAUUAAUUUUAUUUAAAAAUAUUUAAAAUUUUAAAAAUAAAAAAUAAAAAUAUUAUUUUUUAAAAAUAAUAUAUAAGUUAAAAAAUAUAAAAUUUUAAAAUAUAUUUAUAAAAUAUUAAAAUUUUAAAUUUUUUUGAAUUUUAAAUUUUUUGGACAAAAAUACCUCCACAAUGCAAAUUUUUGGACUGUUGGGAAGGACGUUUUAGUCCAAUAAACUCAUCUCCCAGGUCUAUCAUACCCUUGGGAGGAGCCCCAAAGCCAAACCUCAACUCCCAAUCCUCCAAAGCAUUGAGUAUGGCUGGUGCAAGGGCCCUUGGGAGUUGGGUUGUUAUAUAAACUAGGCUGGGUUAUAAUUAAACAACUCUGCCCGGCCGGCUUGGGAGGUACUGGCCCACGGCCGGCUGGGCCGUGCAGGUCGGCGCCGCGGCAUCCUCUCAGCGCCCGCACGCCCAGGCCCGUGGUGUGCUGCCGUGCCGGGCCACCGGGCCGCGGGAGCAAGGCCCAGCACGACCCGAUUUAACUAGCCGGGCCGACCGGGCAAAAGUGCUACAGUGCUCGUGCCGUGCCUGGCCCGGCCCACUCUCGUGCCGGGCCGGGCGGCCCGCGGCCCGUUUGACACCCCUAUGUGCGACCCACUCCUCUCUCUCUCUUUUUUGUUUUUUUUUCCUUUCUAACUUUCUUAUUUUGUAGUUUUAAAUUUAAAUUUAAAAUUUGAAUUUAAAUUAAAAUUUAAAUUUUAAACCAAUUUUUUUCUUAUUUUGAUGGGUUGCGGGCCGCAUAUAGAAAUUUAAAUUUUGUAUUUAAAUUUAUAGUUUGAAUUGAAUAGAAUUUAAAUUUUUGUAUUUAAAUUUAAAGUUUGAAUUUAAAUUUAAAUUUAAAUGUCAAAUUUAAAUUUUAAAUUAAAUCAAAAUUUUGAUUUCAAACUUAAAUUUUUUAUUUUAAUUUUGAUAUUUUAAUUUAUAUUUAAAAUUUAUAAAUAUAUGACUUGGAAAUCAAAAGAAGAGCUCUCUUUAUUCGAAAAUUUUGUGAGUCCCAUAUUUUUUUUUUCUUUUUAAUUGAGGGUUAAUUGCACCAUUUGUCCCGACUCUUGCACCAUUUUUACUCUAGUCCCUAAUAUUUUUUUGCAAUAGCGAUUAUGUUCCAACUGUUAAAUCCAUAUAGUUUCGCACUUUCUCACUUUAAUACCCUAUAGUUUAAAAUGUAUCAAUUUAUCCCCUUAUUUUGGAAGGGUUGUGGGGUUUAUAUGUAACUUUUUUUUAUAAAUUAAUCGAAUAUUGGUUCCAACCUUAAUUUUAAUGAUAAUAAUUUACUGUAAAAAUACCUUCCCGCUACAUCGCGCGGGCCCUUAACUAGUUAUUAUAUAAUCUACAACCAUGAAAANAAUGUUGAGUUUGAAGGCUAGUUGUUGACCUACUCCUUUGAUACGUCUAAUCGCCAGGACCUCUUUCACUCCCCGCUCUCGCUCCCCUCACUGUCCGCUCUCCCUCAUUAAUUUGUCGCCCUCUCGCUCUGCUCUCGCUCCUCGCUCCGCUCUCGCUCCUCAUUAAUGGCGGGCGGGAUCCGCUGCCGGAUGGCGUUUCGUGGGCUUCUGGUGGAUUGCGUCAUGUUGGGGGUCCGAUCGCGAGUAGAAUCGUCGGCGGCAUGGCGUGCGGGAUGGUCGUGUCAUGCUGAUGUCCUCGUUCCACAGCCGGAUGGCGGUAUCUUCCCUCCCUUCUUCCGUAUGGGCGCCAACCGGGUGGCCGUAUCUUCCCUCCUCUCUACACCCUCCGUACGGGCGUCAGCCGGCAUGGCGGGCGAGAUGGACGCGUCAUGCUGAGGUCCUUGCUCCGCAGCCGGAUGGUGGUAUCUUCCCUCCUCUCUGGACCUUCCGUAUGGCCGUCAACGCUUGGUGGGUUUCUAGUAGGUUAUGUCAUACCGAUGGUUCGAACUCGAGGUUGGGCUGGCGUGUCGUACGUUCGCCCAUGUUGCCUCUUCGUGUGGUUGCGUUGAUCCGAGGAAGGAGGCGGUUGGCUUAGUCUAUCGCAGGCGGCCCUGCCGUACGCCCCCUGUAGUACUCUGAACUUAGCAAAUUGCGGAGUUCGAGAUAGUGGGAUUGGUAAUUGGAGUGUACCCACAAGUUCUAAAGGUUCUAAGAGAAUUUGUGGACAAGUUUGAGAGUGAUCGGACUGCCGGAAGCACAAAAGUGCAUUACUAGUGCAGGAAAUUAGCAGCAGCAGCAUGAGCAGCAGCUUAAGCAGCAGCAGCAGCAGCAGCAGCAGCAGCUGAAGCAGCAGCAUCAGCAGCAUCAGCAGCAGCAGCUGAAUCAGCAGCAGCAACUGGCUGGCAGCAGGGGCUUUAUAGUAAUUUUUCUAUCAUCCUUAUCUUCUAAUCACUACGAUUGACUUCCCCUGUUGGCUUAUUGCAGGGAUAAGCUAAGAAUAGGGUUGCAAGUUCUUUUUUUUUCUCUUUAGAGACUUAGAGAGUUUUCUUUGAGUGAGGUUGCCAAGUUGAGCUGAUUUCUCCUUCUCUCUUGUGUGCUACUGCUUUAGAGGAAGUGAGGAAGUUUUGUUGCUGUUGGAGAGAUAGAUUUAAUAGGGUUUCGGUGGCCUAAACUCUGGAUUCAGCUAAAGUACCUUGUGGUAUGGGUUUAACAUCACUCUCUUUUCUACUAUUUACCAUUAGUAGUAGAAGUAUGUUGAUUUUAAUCCCUCCACUGUCAGCAGGAUUGGGAAAGUUUCAACAAUUAGAGAAGGGUCCUCUUACUGUGAUUUCUUGGCCUACACCCAGGGGAAAGUUAAAGUGAUGCCUUGAGAAGGUGAUUAACUAUUGAAUUGCGUUGUUGAAGCUAUGUUGGAUAUAAUAAUGAAGUUCUAAUGCUGAUUUCGGAUUUGUGCUUUCAACAGUCUUGCAGUCCAUUUUAAGCUGGAUAUCUGAUUCUUGUAAACUGGUUUUGGGUAUACUUCCUCUAAUAGGAGCUGGAGCUCUAAAUGGAAAAGGUGAUAAACAAGUUGUUUCUCUAGUUUGAGCUGAAAUUAAUGAUAUUGAUGCAAUGUUAAUGUUGUUUCUGCGUUCUGUUUUCAGCAGCUAAGAUGGUUGUUUCCAGCUGAUUGUAGUAACUAGUAAGCGCUGAUUUGGAAGAACUCAAAUUGAGUGAAUAGAGGUUCGGUUCUACGCUAAACUUAGCAGGAAAUUUUAUCGAAAUCUGAAGUUACCACCUAGUUUUAAUGCAGAUUUUGGAACCCUGUUACUGCAGGAUUGGGAUUGGGACCUAACUGAGCUAAAUUGAUCAUCACGUGGGGCCGAAUUGAGCUGAGUUCAAGAGGCCCAACUUGGACUAAAGUAGAGGUUUAGCUUCGCCUAAAUUUAGGUGAGAAUUCAACUUUUAGUAUGGGAUUUUAUUAAGUUUGGCAUUGAUACUUAUGUAAUUUCAGCUCUUUGCUGAUUUUGAUCGUGUCAGGAGGACUUGGAGGCUUUGGACUCCUUGCAAGCGCUAGUUCAACGAGUAUCGUCUAUUAGUAGGUGGGUUUGACCUUACCAGAACAAGUGAAGCUCCCCUAUGUACUAUAUGAUGUUCUAGAAUUAUUAGUUAUGUGUGCUUGUGUAAAGAGGUACUAGAUAUAGGAUAUGGAAUGUUUCAACUAGCAUUGUUUAAUAUAAUUAAAUGAAAGCUCUAUGAAGUAGAGAGAGUUAUUCAUGAAUGUUUUGAUGUUCAGUUUACUUGUAUAAAUAAUGGACAAUCUACAUUAUGCUACUAUAAGUAGAGAACAUUUUCUUAUGACCUGAUUAAUAGUACUUUAAUACUAAUAAAUUUCUAAUGGCAUAUGUAAAAUAGCAUUACUUUUACACGAUUGCUAAUCUAGUGGACACUAGUAUGCAUAAUUAUACCUAGAAUCUGACCUAUUGGUAGAGAGUGACACUUUAUAUGUUAAACCAUGACGAUUGAGAACUGUUAGUCUAUGGAUCGUGCUUGCUUGCCAUUGUGCUCAUUCGCACAUGCUUGUGAGGGUCGCUCUCUACAAGCCGGCACUCCGGUGUUGGCCUACGCGACAGUUGCUCGCCCGUGCGGGAUUGGGUGCCGAAGUGGAUUGCCGUGGGGAGUGUAUACUACCACGGGGCCAUUAGGCGCGGCGCAAGUUGGACUACCUCGAGUAGGUCCUUAUGAAUUACACUAAAGUGCUAAAUGAUAACAAUAGUUGAUUAUCACUGAGUAGUGUAUAGUUACAUACCUUCAUGACUUGUUUAUGCUCAUAGUAAUCACUUUUCUUGCUUCUAAUUGAUUGAUAUAUUUGACAGUAGGAUACAUGUUCCUCGUUAAUUAUCAUUGAUAUAUCUAUCCUGCAAUCAAUGUUUUUACAUUUCUAGUAGUACAUCAUAAGCCUAGUGGUGUAAUUCGCCGAGACUGGCGGCUUACCCACUGGGAACUAUUGUUUAAUAGUUCUCCCGCCCUUUUUGUUGUUGCUUUUACAGAGCCAUCCACUACGGGAGAGGGUAGGGAUCGCGGCAAGGGAGUCGCGUCUAGCUAGACAUAGCGUGGAGUCCCGCUAGGUGAUCACCUCACUAUUCUGUGAUACUGACAAGAGUGAGGUGUACCAGUGUAUAGAGAGACUACCUUAGUAUAUAGCUCUUUUGAAGCGACUUGUGACGUAUAUGUGGGUUUAGAAUGUUGUAUUUACAGUUUUGGACUCCUGCCUCUGUUGAGUUUCUAGGAUUUAUACUAUUUCUUUUUCUAUUAGUUGUUGUACUAUUGGUUCAUACUUCGCUCUGAUAUCAUGUUAGAAUCUCUUCAAGAUCCUUCCUUUUGUAACAUGACUUUCGUAGACGUCUUAUAUACUGCAGGUAUAUGACGGUCUGUACAUGUACCGGGUAUGCUUCCGCUGAUACCCGGGCGUGACACCCCCUCUCCCCUACGUCCCCCCCGGUGCACUCGGGGACCGUAUGCCCUUCCUCCCUCCCUCCCUCUUCCCUGCGGCCUUCGCUCGACUACUUAUAAAUACAGGGAUUGCUCUGGGAUUUUGUGGCUUUUCAUGUGCUUCUCCUCUUCUGUUUUCUUUCUAUAUCCUCUAUUCUCUAUCCUCUAUCGUAUAUCCUCUAUUGCUUUGGGGUUCGGUUUGUGGGUUUUUUAUUGAAGUGCUAAGAAAGGUAGGGCCUUUGUUCGGAAGGCAUUUCACUCCUGUGGGUUCUCUCGUAGAGUGCUUAGAAAGUUGCAGCUUUUGUUCGUUGAAGCCUUUUUUGUUGUGGAUUAUGGUUGGUUUCCCUACCGUUUGCGAGCUAUCGUAGCUGAAAGCUGGUUUCUGUACAAUUUGUUUGUUUUUUUUAUUGCUAUGUUUUUUAGGUGUUUCUCUAUUUUGUUGAUUUAUUUCUUCUUGCAUUUUGUUUUUUUGUGAAUUGUUUUGCUGCAGUUAUGGCAUUGGUAGUUGUUACAGUAUGUUUUCGUGAAUUGUUAUGCGAUGUUUGCCAACAGUAUUCGUUCUUGGCUCCGAGGUAUGGUGUCCCGGUUGAAAAUAAUGGAUUGAUUAGUGUUGAUGUUGAAGUUGAGAUCCCUAGAGGUGAUUCUGUUGCUGAGACCAUUAGAAUUUGGGGCAAUCCCUUAUCGGAUGUUGAUCAAUCUGAGGAAGAUGCUGCUCUGCGUGCUGUCGCAAAAUUGCGUGACGAGUAUAUUUGGAGGAUAAAAUAUUUUAUGAGAAUUUGUAUGCCCGGCUUUCGGUGGACCAUACUGUUGUCCGUAAAAAAUAUAAGCGUCUAAAAACUGAGUACAAUUUGUUAAAGGGUUAUUAUAAUGAUCUUAUGUCUGAGAAGGAGCUCUUAGUUGCAUGCUGAGAGGCGUGAGCUCAUGGGAAACAUAGAAAAGUGUUCUGAGGUGCUUCGGCGGCCUAGCAUUCAUGGCAUUCACCCUGCAAGUAGUGGGGAGGGGUCUGGUGAAGACCCGGCGACGCCAUCGGGUUAUAGGGAUUGAAGCUGUUUCAUUGUUGCUUUGUUUUGGCAGUUCUCAGAGGUUUUGGGUUUGUACUCAGGAAAAAAAACUCCUGUAGUUGCAUAGUAUGCUGGUUUAGUUUUUAGCAGGUCUUUUCAGGAAGAACUUUGUGAAGUUUAUGUUGUGAGUUUUGUUCUGGUGGAAAUAAAAGGGUUCUUUAUGUACUGUGUAAUGAUGUUCUUGCCUUUUUUGGUUUGUUUUCUAUGUAUUUACCAGUUUCGGUUGCUGUUUUAAAGGCUUUAGGAGAUAUGCUAUAUGUAAGCUGUUGGUUUUAGGUCUGGUUUUAAAUGAUAACCCAGGAAGAACUUUGUGAAGUUUUUGUUCUUGUGGAAAAAAAAGGUUCUUCCUGUAUUGUUUAAUGAUGUUCUUGCCUUUUUGGAUUUGUUUUCGAUGUACUUUCCAGUUUCGGUUGCUUUUUUAAAGGCUUUAGGAGAUAGGAGAUUAGGCAGUAUUCUAUGGAGCUUUGGGUCUUUUUCCUCUCUUGCUCAGAUCUGGUUUUAUGCUAUAUGUAAGUUGCUGGUUUUAAGUCUUGUUUUAAAUGAUAGGCGGUGGUGAAAGAGACAAUGUGGCGUUCUUGGAAUGGAUGCCUCCUUUCCUUUGAUGAUCAGGUGCUAAAAUACUGUUGCAGAUUGGGUGAGAAAAAAAUGUGGUGCCCUUGGGAUGGAUGGCUUCCUUUUCUUUGAUGAUUGGGUGCUAAAAUGUUGUUGCAUAUUGGAUGGUCCUUUGGUAACUAUUGCAUGCAAGUGGGCAUAUAUCCUAUACUCCAUCCAUCCAAAAAUAAAGUUCUCUUUACUAGCUGGCUUAUUUCCACAUAAGUGUUAUAAAAGUUUUAAUAAAUUUAUAGAUGUUUAAAAGCGUUGUCUAAAUUUGAUGGGCAGGCGUAAGAUUGUAGUUUAACUAUCAGUGUACAAGUAGUAUUUCUGAACUUUUGGAGCUCGGAAUAUUGUAAUACAUCUAAUUAAUUAUUGUCCUAUGUUGAAGAUUUAGUGACAUACAGAUACAUAAUCGCCUUCGCAAAAAAAAAAAAAAAAUUACUGCAGUUAUCCUUGCUUAUGAAGAACUAAGUUGAGAUGUUUUCAUGCUUUUCUUUUAUAUUGAGUCUUUGUGUAAAGCCAGUUUUAGGCUUCCCCUCUAUUGUAAGUAUAACAUACAUGUCCAGAUUUGUCAUAAACCUAUAUAAAAAAUAGGAACGGAUGAUUAUCAGGUUGGGCAUUCUUAUGUUAAACCUGGACAUCCUAUUUUAUUUCACGUUGAUCAUCCUAUUUUCAUAUUUGAGUGGCUGGUUUAUGACUAUUCUUUGCAUUCUAUUUCAAAUGAUGCUAUUUCAAAUGAUUUGAUAGCUAUAUUAAAAAAUAUGAUUUGUGUUAUCUCUUCACAAAUCUCAUGAUGCAUAGUAAAUAUCUAUUAUAUAUGUAACGUAUCGAAACCCGGAAGAAAUUGUCGAACUUUAGCCAAAUUGGUUAAAGUUGUCAAAAGAAAAGUUGGACAAGUUCCAAUUGGCAUUCCAACAAUGUUGGUAGGGCUAAAAAUAGGUUUAAGAGGUGUUAGAAAGGUUUUAGCAUCGAACGGCGCAAAACUGCAUUCUGGAGCAAAGUGUACCAGUACAACCAGCGAGUUGUCACCGGUACAGCCCAGCAGCCGAGCCGAGUGAGCUCUACAGCCCAGCAGCCGAGCCGAGUUUCCUCUCGGGUUGCUCUCUGCGUAAUCGUGUAACCGGUGACAGAACAAAGUGUACCGGUACACUUUGGGUCUGACAGCAAAAAUGAAAACUGCUGCAAAUACAAGUGUUUGGAGGGUUUUGUUGUAAUUGUUACAACAUGUUAAUCCCCAACCCUACUUUUCUCUCUCUCCCGUAGCCAUUUCUUCUCCUCCUCUUAUUUUCCUCUUUCUCUCUCUAGAAACCUCUUGAAAGAGCAAGGAGAAGAUAGAUUAGAAGGCUUGGGAGGUGAUUUUGGGAAGAUUGAAGGCUUGGACUCUCUCCUCCAAGGUGGACAUUGUAGAGCUUUGGGCCAAGGUGAGGUGUUUUUGUAAGAUUAGGGUUAGGGCUUGGGAGUUAUGCCCUAAAGCUUUGGGUUUUGACCUUUUAGCUAGAAUAGAAGCCUCUAAUGGCCUUAGAACACAUGGAAACAAGGUUUACCAUGUGCUCUCAUCGUAGAAACCCUAGGGUUGAGUUUUAUGUCCUAGGAAUGGUUCAAAAGGUUUGGAAAUGGUAUUAGAGAGCUUCUUAGGUGGUUCUAAGCUUAGUUUUGCUUAGCUGCAAGAUCAAUCCCAAGAAAUUUGAUAAGUGGCAUUAUUAGGGCACCCAAUUUGGGGCUUUUGCCUCCGAAUGUUUCUAAAGCAAACUGACCUUGUAGAAACCUAAUUAGGAGUAUUCCCGACGCGUGGGACAACUUCGUUUGACAUUAUGAAAAGAUUUAAAUGAAGUUAUUGAGAAAAGCCUAAUUUGGCUUCGUUUUGCCGCAGGCGAAAAAGUAGGGCUUUAAAAAUCCCAAGAAAUUCAUCGUAGCAUCCCUACAACCGUCUAAGGUGGGUGGUGCAAUCCGAGGAUCUCGGAAUUUCUUUUAUGUCUAAAGUGUCAUAUUUGAGCAUAUGUGUAUUGAGCAUGAAAUUGCAUAGUAGGGUUAUAUGUGAGCAUUUCAUUGCAUGUUGUGAGUACAAAUGCAUGUGGACUACUAGCAAGAUUGUGAGAAUUUAUAAACCCUAUUCAUCCAUGAUAAGUGACAAGAACUUAGUGGGCCUAGUAAACAAAUGUGACAUCUUGACAUAGAAAUAGAAAGCGACAAUAAUGAGUCGAGAAUGUGAGAGUUGGAACACUUAGAAAAUAAGUGUGGCAUGUGUACAAGAACAUAGCAGUGUAUAUGACACUAGUGAACGUAAAGAAUGCAAGUAAAAGUGUGAUAGCGACAUUAUAACAUAACAACCUUAGAAUUAAGGGUCAUAUGUGCAUUGUUUCCUUAUAGUUAAGGAAUGGAUUGAACUUGAUAUCCCUACAGUUAAGAAUUGGAUCAUACUCGCCUGUAAGUCCUUACUCGAGGGUGGUAGCUCCCCCUCGGGCGAUGUUCUCCGGAGUUAUCAUCACUGGGUGUAGUAGCCUCCCCAGAGGACGGUCCCGUCGGGCGUAGUAGUCUCCCCGAUACUGGAAUUUGAGUUGGUGAGUUGUUGAGGCCGAAACCUAUGGGUUAGCCAAGAGAUUGAGCAACGAGAUUGUGACCAUGCAUUCAUCAUGAGUAUAUUAUUGAGCAUUGCAUUAAUUACUGUUCAGCCAUAUUAGCUGCAUUUGUAUAGUUCGGUUACUAUCUAUAUCUCUUUUCUUCUAUUAUGCCUGAUUUAGACCUAGUGGGAAGAUCGGCGUGGUCGAUUGCCGAACCCACUGGAAACUUUAUUGUAAUUCUCACCCCACUAUUUCCACAGAGCCGGGACCGAGCGAGCCGGCGGACGAUCGCGGUAAGGGCAUCGUGCCCUAGUUAGAGACCACCCGAGUUGGUUUCACCUUUUGGUUUAGUUGCAUACUCUUUAGAUAUCAUCUUUUGUAUUCCGAUGAUUUUAGUAUUAUGAACAUGUUAAAUAAAUGAGGUAAAAAGGAUUAUGUUUCAAUGCAAAGUUUAUAUUUUGAGAUCAUGUGAUGUAAAGAGAAGAAAUGAUGCAAAAAUGUAAAUGAUUUUCCUAAGUGUAGUUUAUCACUUUCACUAUUGGCUAUUGCUUGCCCUCGUGCAAGCCAUUGUGUAUGCUUCCGCUUAUGCAAUUUUUAUACUCUAUCUGUACCUGUUGUUGAGCCUUGGGCGGACGGGGGAGGCUCUGUCCGUUCGGCGUCUGUUCGACGCGCUCGAACCGGCCAAAAGGAUCGGCCUCGGGGCGUGACAAUAUACAUGAAUGAGGUUGUUAAGGCUAAUCCUGUGUCGUUUAUAAUUACUAAUUUGACAAAAAUUGUGCUUUCUAGAAAGCUCAUACUGUUAUUGCCUAUCUAUAUUGAAGUUCAGGUUGUGAUAGCCAAUAAAUUAAGCCUUGGCUAGCUAAGCUAGCUCUUUGCACCAGUGCUUAACAAUUAUGCCAAGAUCUCUAUAGGUUACAAAUACCUCGAGGUACUAAUUAAGGUCACUAUUUUAUAGGUUAAGCAUUCUAAGGUUCUAAUUAAGAUUGUCCAAUCUGGACAUUCUAUUUUAUUUUACGAUGAUCAUCCUAUUUUCAUAUCUGAGCGGCUAGUUUAUGACUAUUCUUUGCAUUCUUUUGCCCUGAUUAAUUGUAUUGGUAUCUGGUCGUAAAAUAGGAUCAUCAUAAUACUAUUAGUAUCUGGUUUAUGAUUAUUACUUUUAUUUCAAAUGAUACUAUUUCAAAUGAUUUGUACAUUUUCUAUUUCGUAUAUUAUAUGUUUUCAUAUGUUAUGAAAAUUAUACAUUUUUAAAAAAAAAGAACAUAUUAAUGCCUACAUAGAAGUGCUCACUUAACAAACGUAUAAUAUCAACCUUUACUCACAUAUGCUCAACUUUUUCCGACAACCAUCGAGAACAAGGCGCGGAACUCACUGCUAAAACCCAAAUUUUCAUACCAACUAGCGAACAUAGGACUUUAAGCCUAAGCGCCAAGCCCACAAUCACUCGCAUAAGCACAACAGCUCUUAGUAAAGCGAAAAUGCCACUAGUUCCAGUCUAGCUAAGGACAAGUCCACUAUACCAAACAAUUAAGCAAAACCACAUAAAAAAGAAGAAACUGUCCAGGGAAUCAGAGAGAAAUAUGAAUUGUAUAUAAUGUUAUAAUAGCACCCGCAACUAAACAAAUUAUAUAUUCAAACCAUAGACAAUCUCUCAAUCUAAAUGUAAAUAAGAAAAAACAAAUAGAUAUAAAAAAAUACUUUGUUACUAUACUAAAAAUGAUAAUCAACACCGAAAAAUAUAAAUUUAAAACGAAAAAUGAGAAAGCUAGUUAUAGUUCAAAUAAACAUCUUUCUUGAACUCACCACAAAAAGACAACAAUUGAUUACACAUAUCCGAGUUCAAUGAUAGACAUCUAACUUCCUCCUACGCAAAACAUACUCCCAAUAGUCCCACAUCAAUGGGGAAAAGGGGUUUGUCCAUUGGUGUUACAAGACACUUAAUGCACUAACUGAACCACAACUAAUCCCCGCACCAUCAAUUAUAACACUCCCGGCCGAGCCAUCUUCAAGCCCACAAUACUAUAUAACUCAUUGAUAAACGUACAGCCAAAUUGUAUGGGCCCACAACACAAAGAGAGAUUUAGGUAAACAUAAACUACGUCAUCAAUUCUAAAGUCCAAGGGCCUGGGCUUCAGAUUACACUUUUAGCGUAAUUCAAGAACGAGGCUAUAGUACUAAUACACACUGCACAUCACCUGUGCUCACGUCCCCUCACCAGGCUAGAACGCUAAAACCCUAGGUUCUGGAUGACGGGACUAUCGCGAGACUACGCUCUCACAUGCAAUGGUGAUCACCGCAUUCGAGCUGAUUGUGUCCCAAAUAGAAGAUCUGACGAGGACUCACCGGAGCACACCUUACAACUAACAACAUGGGGAGUCAGUGCAUCACACAUCAUCCCACCAAUCCUAGCUCCCCUGCACCCAACAUCAAUGGAAAACAGCGGUUGUUCUCUCGGGGAUUUAAUAACGAAGAAACAUUAGAACACUAGUAAUAAAUACACUGGGCUUAAAACAUGAUUCAACACAAUUUUGAUGAUCACGAACAGUAUAAAUAGAUUUAGUAAGAGGACAGGUAAAUACUAAAUCACACACACCCGAAGUUUAAUCAAAUAAUAAUGUUGCUUAUAUAUCAGUAACUACCACAUAACCCCCCAACCAUAAUAAAGACUGAAAUAAUCUUAACAACGCGACCCGCAUUAAUUAAUCCCCGGCCAACCCCAAACCAAUGGGUCGUAUGACAUUAGCAGACACCACGUCACCUAUGUGACCUAGCCCACAAAUAAUCCGUCUAACUCUUUUUGCAUGAGGCACAGACGACAGAUACGUCACAUUGCUCGAGGCAGAAUGCCCAUUAUAUCUUUACAUACCGAAUUGCUUAUCUGAGCAACCCACAUCUCUUAGUUGGGCAAUCGACUCUUUGAGAAUUUAUUGUUCAAGCCUAACGAUCCCUCACAUCCUUGACAUGCCUCACCUCAACUAAAAACGACCGCAUCGUCAGCAAAAACAACUUACUGAACACAGAUAUUAAAUACAUGCAUAACUUAACAAAAACGGCCCCCACGCUUCGCAUGCCGAAAUAACAGUUCCGCAUCCAAAUUUUACAAAUAUUUUAAAUCUUAUUUUAAUUGUUAAUUAAUUUAUAUCAUAUUCAAUCUAACAUCAACUCAACAAUUUCAAAAAAACAAUAUAACAAAUUACAAAAUAACAUAUAUACACAAACACAUAAUCAAUUAUCAAAAACAAACAAUAUAAUAAUCUAAUAAACUAAAAAAGACAAAAUACUACAAGAUUUAAUUCAAAAUUAUACCAAAUUUAAAAUUUAAAUAUAAAUCAAUAUACCCACACAUACUAAAACUACUAAAAACCAGUCUUCCAAUUAACCAUCCUCACUGACAAAACCUAAAAACGAUCCCCAAUAUCUCGACAUUACAUCAACCAUCUACUCUCUCUCAUUACAUCUCUAAACGAUCACUCUGUCACCCUCACAGAUCUACCCAACCCUCACCACACCAGACAUACAUCCCCCUCCAAACAAUAUAUAACCUCGCCGAGACAAAGAAGACCCACACCACCAUCACGCACGCCACACAAAACAAAACAAAAACAAAAAAAAAAAAGAAAAAAACCAUCCGCACACGCGACCCAAAAGACACUACUCAGACCACCGCAGUACAAAAUUAACCAAAAGACCAAAACGACUUACAACACCCGACACCCCACCACCAAGCCCCACCAAAUACAAAAACAACACUCACAACAACCGUAACCCCACGCGCCUAGAGCAACCUUAACAAACAUCUUAAAGACAACUCUACAUGACCAGAGCCUCCCACAUCGACCGUCAUAGACAACCUCACGACACGAAGCCAUCGCACGGGCCUACACAGUUCCGCCACACACGAAAUAAAUAUCAGCAGUAAAGUAGUUAGUAUAGAAAAAACAAACCCAACCAGCUCUGAACUUAUUAAGCAUACCGUCAUUAAACAGAUUAAAUCAAAACUCAAACACCUUUCGCCCUAAAACUCAAACAAAUAAAUAUUACAACUUUAAAAAAAAAACGAACCUGCACUCACAAGCGCCAGCGGCCGUGCCUCACUCCGUCCACGAACCUCCCCAGCUGCCCCCACCCCACGCCCCGCCCGCGCCUCGCCGCCAGCCGCCACACGCCACCGCGCCUUCGGCCGCCGCUCCCGAACCUGCCACCACCUCCUCCGCCCCACCGCCCGCCCACACACCCCAGCACCGCCCCUCCAGCUUCGCCUCCCCCCCUGCUUCCAGCCCACCCCCCCCCACAGCCGCCGCAACCCCGCUGAGGGGGGGGGAAGUCGACGAGACAGAUAGACGCUAACAGAGCAACGCCAAGCAGCACACCACGCCAUACACCCCCGACGGCCCAAAGCCACCUCCACCUCCACGCCCCCCGCAGGGGAACGGAACAAAAGCCGAGUGGCGCGUGGUGAGAGAGAGCCCCAAGCGCUAGUCACCGGACCAAGGGUAAGUAAAGACGAGAGGUAAGCGGGGACACCCCGAACCCGCGGCGCCCCAGGCGCCCAGAAACCACCCCAGCCCCCACUCUGGCGCGCGCACCGCCGCACCCUCACGCCCGGGCGCCGCCCCCGGCUCGCCCCGCCACGCCCCCCACCCCCGCACGCGCACACAAAAACGCAACCGGACAGGCCCCCCCACACACACCCAGCCGAACAACCCACAACCCCUCCACCCUGCCAAAUAGUGUCUGUCACCUUGUGAGACAAAAAAACAGAAUAAAAUUAAGCAAAUCAAACCCCAGCAAAAGGCAUACACCUGUUAAAUAAGAUGUAAAUACAUUAAAAAUAAUAUUCCGUAAACCUAUAAGAUCUACCAAACCAAUCCUAAGACUUAUUGUAAAAAUAGCUGUACCCCAAAGAUAACAUCAUAGAAACAGAAAAAAAUCAAACCAAUGGAAUAAAAUACAAGCAAAUCCCACCAAAGACUGAAAUAAUAAUUAAACCGCCAAAAAAAUAAGUAUAAAAAAAUACCCGCACAAAAAAAUAAAGCCCACAAAACAUAAAGAGAGCGCAGCGAAAAUACGCGAAGAUAAGCGAGCGCGGCAAAACAAACCCGACGCCAAGAUCGAAAACUAACAAAAAGAUGCGCGAGCCCACAGAGCAGCGCAUCCGCAAGGUACUGCCCCCCAAACCGACCCCUCCCGCCGCCAAGCAGCCCAGAGUGCAUAAAACAAAACCAAAGAGGCAACAAUAAAAAAGCGGCAGAAAACAAAGAACACCGAAAGAUGAAGUCAAACAAAAAGGAAAAAACAGGGAGACGCGGACAACAAGAUAAGAUAAAACACAAACGCCAGAAAAGAGGAGAAACAAAAACAAAAGAAAUCCCAAAAAGAAACCAAGGAGCGGAGACAAAUAAAACAGAGCACAGAAUGAGAGAGAGAAACAAUACAAAGAACCGCGCAGGCGGACUCAACACAAAAAAAGAAACCACCAUACAAGAGAAAGGGCCGCCAUGUUCGGGAGGCCCGCACCCCGCGCGCGCGCAGAGAGGGCAGGCCUCCCUCUCUCUCUCUGUCUGCUCUCUCUCUCUCUCUUUACCUCUGUUCUCUCUCUCUUUCUCCCCUCUCUUUGUCUGCUCUCUCUCUCUCCCUCUGCUCUCUCUCUCUCUCUCUCCCUCUGUUAUCUCUCUCUCUCGCGCUGAGUCCCCCGCAAAACGCGGGGAGCGCGCCGUAGGAACUCUCGAUUCAAGAGUUAUAUAGAUAGGGGCCUGUCAUUAGCCAUCAUUUUUUACUUUCAAUCAGAUGGUCAAAAUCUUGGAUCUGAGGACUUAAAAAUAACAAGCAACAAGGCUUCGAUGCUAUUAAAGGCAUUCUAGCUCAAUUCCUUUGAUAAAUUUUUUUGCCUUAAUUUUAUAGCUAGGUUUUUUGGUAAAGAAUAGAAGUUAUCUAAACUAUGAACUAUUUUGAAAAAAGCUAUCAACAUUUUUAAAUUUUGAUUUUGCAACCAAACUUUUGAAUUUAUUUGAUUUGAAUUAGCCAAUAGUAUUUUAAUUUCAAAAGUUGAAUGCGUCGUUUAUUUUUGCAGGUUUUGUUAGCAUAUUUUAUAUGAUUCUCGCAACUAUAAAUUUAUUAAAAUAAAUAGUUAACUUAAAUUUUAAAAUUAAAAUACUAUCAAUUGAUUCAAAUUAAACAAAUUGAAAGAUGAAAUAAUAAAUUAAAAGUUUAACAAAUUGGGUGGCCAUAGCUAAGAUAAAUUUCGUAUGAUUUUACCCAUUUUUUAGCUGAAACUUUCUCUCUUCAUUAUCUCCAGAAAAAGAAAUGAAUAUUUCAACACUGAAAGGAAUAUUUCAACACUGUUAUCUAUAUCUAUGACAACCAUGCAUGUUUAACUACAGUAAGAUACAACUGAAUGUGAGCAUGAUUUGUUACAUGAUUUUAGCUUUUUAACAGCUUAAUAAAUGAUUAGUCCAGUGAUUGGUUGAAUCAAAUACUUCAACUAAUUGGGUUAAUUUUAUUUUACUAUUCAACCUUUCAAUCUAUUUGAUUUGAUUCAGUCAACAAUACUCUUACUUUAAAAUUUAAGCUAAUUACUUAUUUUAAUAAACUUAUGGUUAUAAAAAUUGCAUGAAAUAUACUAACUAAAUCUGUAAAAAUAAACGGCGCAUUCAAAUCUUAAAGUCAAAAUGUCGUUGACUGACUCAAAUGAAAGAUAUUGAAACAUUGGGUAGUAAAAUCAAAAUUUUGAAAGAUUUGAUAGCCGUCUCAAAAUGAUCCGUAGUUCAGAUAAAUUAUGUACGUGUUCACCAUCUACAUUGGUCGUUCUAGUUUGUGAGAUAUCUCCAUCCGACUAGAGCAUGUGAUAUAGAUGGAUGCAGCAGUCACAGAAUCUGUUUGAAAGGAAGCAAUAUGGAAUAUAUCCCGAUUAAGCACGAAGUAAACAGAGCCACAAUUAAGGCUUACUAAAGUCUGAGCUCCUUGCCAUUUGCAGCAUUGAUGCUUUCAUGUCUUCCUUUAUCCUAAUUCUUCUACAUCUUACUGUCUUAUUCUGAAAAUGGCAUGUACUUGUUCUGCUCUCUUGAACUCAUUCCUGUCAGUCGAGUUCCCAGCAGUUGGGGCAUCAAACUUUCCUUGAAGAAUUCCUAUCAUUCGAGGUCCUUUCGGGGUUAUCGAUCACCUAGUUCUGCCAUGUCACCUACCUCGACCAUGCUGUCAACACAAUCUAUCCCCUCCCCGCUGAAUCUGUUGAUGCUACAAAUGGUUUGGUGCAAUCCAAUGAGUAUAUCAGGAAGCUGCUUCGCAUGAACCGCCCGAAGUAAACUGGCGGCAACAGCCAAUACUACAACUAUAUAUAUAAUAGUAACACAUAAUGUGCAUGACUAAUGCCGGUUAUCCUGACGGAAAAAAGAUGCACAAAUGUAGUAAAUGUGACUUGCUACAACACUCGAAUGUCAUUCCAAUACCUAGUCACCACUAGCACAUCCUCCGCAUCCACAAUAAACACAUUCAAUAACCUUUUCUUCCCUGAGAUGCUUAGGAACCCUGCAGACGCACGCGGUCGCAAAGUUGUGAUCUCGUAUCUGCAUGCAGCGAAGGCAGCACAGGCGCUCAUAGCUCGGCUGUAUAUUGGUUACUAAAACAAGAAUUAUUGAAUAAUGAAAAGUAACAACAGAACAAAGCAGGCAAUUCAUAUGACAAUAAAGGAACAUGAGUACUGCCUAAAUAUAAAGCCCAAUCCAACCAAAAAGAAAAGGUUACUCUACUCAACUCACCCUACCCAGCCCAUUCGACCCAAUUACAAACAAAAAAGAAAAAAAAGAAAAAGAAAAAUCGAUUAUCAUCUUCCCUUCUUCCCUCACUCAAUCCACUGAAAUCCUAGACAAAGAGCCCUUCCCUCUUGUCCUCAUCCGCCAUCGCAGCCAACGAGAUAGAGUUUCGACGAUUGUUAAAUGUUUAAAUAAGUGUUGGUAAAUUAGCAGCACUCCUGUAACGUAUCGAAACCUCAAUAGCGAUUAUCGUACUUUAGCCAAAUUGGUUAAAGUACCGAGAGAAAUGGAUGGACGAACUCCAGUUGACAUUCCAACAACGUUGGAAGGGUCAAAGUCGAGUCCCGAGGGUGUUAAGCAAGUUUUAGCAUCGCUCGGCGCGAUUUAAAAUGUGAGUAAUGUGAAAGAAAAAGUUGGAUCCUAUGUGGGAUUAUUGGGGUUGUCAUUGGAUUUAUAAGAGACUUAGACACUAGUAAUAAUAACUGGGCUUAAGCAUUUUGGGCCGGUGGUUGGGCCCAACGAGUUAUUGUUGCUAGUGGGCUGGGUCGUUACAUAUGGUAUCAGAGCCGGUUCACCAGCUGGACAUGUGUGGCAAGUCUCGGCUGAGCCAGGGUCUGGAUGACGGGCUAGCGAGAUGAGUCUCACAUCGCCUGGUGAUCUUGGGCUGUGUGUGUAAUUGGACUGACGAGGACGUUAGGGCUUUAACAGGGGGAGUCUGUGACACCCCUAACGACCCAGCCCACUAGCAACAAUAACUCGUUGGGCCCAACCACCGGCCCAAAAUGCUUAAGCCCAGUUAUUAUUACUAGUGUCUAAGUCUCUUAUAAACCCAAUGACAACCCCAUUCCCAUCCGAUGUGGGACUAUUGGGGUGUCACAGACUCCCCCCGUUAAGGCCCUGACGUCCUCGUCAGUCCAAUCACACACACAGCCCAAGAUCACCAGGCGAUGUGAGACUCAUCUCGCUAGCCAGUCAUCCAGACCCUGGCUCAGCCGAGACUCGCCAUGCAUGUCCAGCUGGUGAACCGGCUCUGAUACCAUAUGUAACGACCCAGCCCACUAGCAACAAUAACUCGUUGAGCCCAACCACCGGCCCAAAAUGCUUAAGCCCAGUUAUUAUUACUAGUGUCUAAGUGUAAAUCCAAUGACAACCCCAAUAAUCCCACAUCGGAUGGGAAUGGGGUUGUUAUUGGAUUUAUAAGAGACUUAGACACUAGUAAUAAUAACUGGGCUUAAGCAUUUUGGGCUGGUGUGUCACGCCCCAGACCGCACCACCCGAAAACGGCACCAAUUUGGUCCGAUUCGAGGGCGGCGUGCGCGACCGCCGAACGGACAGAGUCUCCCCUGUCCGCCCAAGGCUAAGCAAUGGAUUGUGUACAACAAGUCCCCAGGAAAAACAACUUGCAUUCAUACACAAUCAACAACGAAGCGAAAGCACAAACAGUGCUAUAACCAAUUAGAGCAAGCGAUACAAGUAAAAUCAUACAAGUAUACAAAAGAGAGAAACUUAACUAUUUAAGCAUAUUUGAAACAUUAAACCUCUUUCGAUAUCAUUUAAACUUUAAACGUUUAAUACAACUUGCAUUCUUUUUCCCAAAAUGAAAAUACAUCAUAUGCUCUCCAAAACCUCACCCUAUACAUCAUCUACUCUCAAAGCAUAACCAAAAGUACAGGGUAUAGAGCUAAUGCAAGUAGGUAAAGUAAGCUAUCUACCAAAAGCUAGGGCGCUAUGCCCUUACCACGAUCCAUCGAUGAAGGUCCGCUAACCUGUGUACCUGUACCCCCAAAACCACACGGGGGUGAGAACUACGAAUAGUUCCCAGUGGGUUCGGCCGCCGACUCCACCGANNNNNNNNNNNNNNNNNNNNNNNNNNNNNNNNNNNNNNNNNNNNNNNNNNNNNNNNNNNNNNNNNNNNNNNNNNNNNNNNNNNNNNNNNNNNNNNNNNNNGUUUUGGGCCACCCACGAGGCCCGCGAGUCCACGUCUGCGACUCGGCGCGCAUGCUCGCAGCAACCAGCAACCGGGACGUUUUUUUGGGCCGAAUUAUUCGCAAAUCGCGUUUAAUUCUCGAAUAAUUAUUUUUACCCAAAAAAAGAAAUUUUUCCGAAUUUUUGGAAAAAAUAUGAAAACGGCCUUUUUAUUCGGCUUUUCAAAAACUCGCGAAUUAUUCUCGAAUAAUUCACGAAUUAACUAACUAUGGAUCCGACAGGAUUUGGGCGAAAGGGAAAAUGGGAGUAGCCGCCCUGCGGGUCGGAGCGGUAGGCUUUCAGAGCGGAGGCAAAAGGCGGACCCAAAACCCGCCCACUACAACAAAUCAGAGCUGUGCCGACGCUUUUUUGGAAACGCUUUGUCAAUGCGUCGGAAAGUCCAAAUUUAAUUCAUAAAUUAACGACGCUUAAUUAAAGCGUCGACAAGGGCGCUGAAAUAAUUUGACGCGAAACAUUUUUCACACGGCGUCAAAAGAGGAAUAGAAAAAUGCCCUAAUUAAACCUCUUUCUCCCUUUUCCCUUUUCCUCUGAGACCUUUUCCCAUUCACUUCCUUCACAGGCGAAGAAGAAGGCACAUGCUUUCCCACCUCCGCUUCGCCGCAGCCUCUCCCACCUCUGCUACGAUCUCUCCCGCCUCUGCCGCUGCUCCCACUCCUCCGCCUACCCCUGCCGCCGCUUCCUCCAGGGACCCAGCUUCUCGCCCGCGUCCACUCCAACCCUUCCUUCACCUCCGCCUCUGCCAUCGAUGAGGACAACGGCGCCGUUGCCCUCGACGCCCCCGACGUUGCUGCCAACAUCUUGAAGGCCCUCGCCCUCGACCUCCUCGACCACCACCUUCCCACUCUCCGAUCCUGUGACGCCGCCCUCUACCCCGUGCAAGCAUGGCGACGCCUUCUUCAGGUGUGCCGGGGUCCAUCUCGCCCUCAACUGCCGGAAUCGCCUCCACGCCGACCUCACCAACCUCAUCGACGCCGUGCACUGCAACCUCGACAACGCCAAGCCCUUCGCCCUCCUCGGCAAGUGCUACGAGCACAAGGGAUACCCCGAGGCCGCAGAGGCUAUCCGGAUUCAAAGGCGGAGACACAAGCAGUUGAGUACAUAUUUUACUUUCCCUGUCGCUCUCCCUGUUUUUUGUUUUUAUUCCAUUUUGCAUAGGGUUUGCAAUAACUUAGACUCUACUCCUCUGCAUAAUUAGUCUUUCAUUCACCAAAGAUUACUUCUACCUAUUGUAUCGUAUUAAUUAAUUAGUAACAAGUGAGGCUCUUGCUCUGCAUAAUAUUAAAUUGGAUGACUAGUGAUUGGAAGGUUUUAAACAUUUCCAUUGUGUAGACUUGUAUAACUGCAGCUUUAUGUAAAAUUGCAUAGUAAUUGAGAGCUUAUACUCUAUAUGCACAUGAGAAAAAAGAUCUAAUUUUUUUUAGUUUGUAGUGUUUUAACAUAGUGAGCUUUUUUGAUCAAAAAAUUUGCUUUGAUGUAUCCUAUAAAAUAUAUUCGCCACCUAAGAAAUAUUCUUGGUUUGUACUUUUACUAAAACAAUAUAUCUUAGCAUCUCUUUUAUUUAGUAUUUUUCUAAAAAUCGUAGAUUGCCCUUAAGUUUUUGUCUAAUAUAUGAAGCUAGUCAUACACUUAGUGUUUAGUUCUUUAUAAUUAAGCUCUAUUAUGUCAAUCUACUAAUUUACAAGUAGUAUUAGACUGCUGAAUAAUAGUUUUAAAAUUUUUAGGAAUACAAUCAUUCCUAAUCAACACUAUUAGCAUUGUUAUUGGCUCAACAAGCUCAUUGGUAAUAGUUAGUCAAAGUGAAAUUUUUGGAUAAGAAGCUUCUGAAAUUUUACAGUACGGAGAGCAACAUCUUCUUGGUAUGGUAAAACUUAUUAUUUUGCAUAUUUUUCUGCAUUUUUCUUCAAUUCUACAAUGUUGUUUCCCUCUUUAUUAACAUAGGAAGUCAUAACAUUUCUUAUUUUUAAUUUGCAAAUAAACUAUGAUCUUUCUUUCUUAUCAAUUCUUUUCUUGUAUUAAUUGGUUAUAGAUGAAGUCCUUUCAUAAUUGUGAUAAUUAUCAUUUAUGAUUAUGGUUUCUAACUGAUUUGUUAUUUUUAAAUUAAUUUGCAUGUUUUUGGAAGUAAGUGUGUUAAUUAAAAUGCUAUGUGUUUGAAUAGUAAGCAGUAUUAGUGUCUAUUCUAUCUAAAUAGUCUAUUAUUUAUGGUUUUUGAGUUGGGGCUCAAUUUCAUAAUGCUAAUUGUUUCUUUCUACCCUAAUCUUUAUAGUUAAGGCUGAAGUUUUUGUUCCUUAUUUUAUCUCUUUUAACAUAUGAGUCAUAAUCAUACAGAUUGUGAUAUAAUGGACAAAAGUUGGAUAAAGAAGCCAAGAAAUGAUAUUGCAUACAUUGAUGGUGUUAAAACUUUUAUUAAAUUUGCUAUGGAGAAAUCAUCCAUAAAUGGCAAGAUUCUAUGCCCAUGUCGAAAGUGUUACAACAAUUCUUCUUUUAUACCAGAAGUUGUUGAAGAACAUUUAGUGUGGAAUGGUUUUUUAUUAGGUUACAAUGUUUGGGUAUUUCAUGGAGAGUCAAUUGUCACAUCCCCAAAUGAAAUCGAAUGCACUUCAUUUGCUCCAAGAUCUAGUAAUGCACAAGAAAGUAGUUCAAGACAAGAUGGUCUAGAGGGAUUGCUGCAAGAUGUUUUUGGAAUUAUGGGCACUAAUUUGAAUAAUGAACAAGUAAUGAAUGAGAUUAUUUCUAAUAGUUUAGAAGAAUGUAAUGACGAGGCGUAUGCUACUGGAUUUCUCGGCGAGCAAAAUUUUAAUGAACGGUCGAUACAUUCAUCACCUAAGGAAACAAUCCGAUAUAGUAACUUGGUGAAAGAUUGUGAUAAAGAACUAUAUCCAGGUUGUAAAAACUUUUCCAAGAUAUCGUUCAUUCUUCACUUAUUCCACCUCAAAUGCUUAAACGGGUGGUCCGAAAAAUCCUUUACAAUGUUGCUCCAAUUAUUAAAAAAUUCAUUUCCUGAAGGCAACUCUUUGCCAUCAUCUUAUUAUGAAGCUAAAAAGCUGAUAAAAGAAUUGGGUCUUGGAUAUGAGAAGAUUCACAUUUGCCCUAAUGAUUGUAUGUUAUAUUGGGGUGAGACGACUAAUCAAGAGUAAUGUAAUGUGUGUGGAUCUUCACGGUGGACAAUGAAUAAAGAUGAUAAUGGUUGUUCUGAUGAUUUGCAAAGGAAGAAAAAGCCGGUCAAGAUAUUACGCUAUUUUCCUUUGAUACCAAGAUUAAAAAGAAUUUAUAUGUCAUCUAAAAUUGCUUCGUUAAUGAGAUGGCAUGAUGAAGGUCGCAUUAAAGAUGGAAUCUUGAGACACCCAGCAGAUGGCCUUGCAUGGAAAUCGUUUGAUGAUCAUUAUCCUGAUUUUUCUUCUGAUCCUCGUAGUGUUAGACUUGGUCUUGCUAGUGACGGAUUCAAUCCUUUUCGAACAAUGAGUACUACUUAUAGCACUUGGCCGGUGAUAUUGAUUCCUUAUAAUUUACCUCCGUGGUUAUGCAUGAAACAAUCGUCAUUCAUUUUAUCAAUGGUCAUUCCCGGUGAAAAAGGUCCAGGUAAUGAUAUUGAUAUUUAUUUGCAACCUUUAAUAGCGGAGUUAAAACAACUUUGGGAUGGUGUUGAUGCUUUUGAUGCUUCUACUAAGCAAAACUUUGUCAUGAAAGGGGCUCUUAUGUGGACUAUUAAUGAUUUUCCUGCCUAUGCUAAUUUAUCUAGUUGGAGCACAAAGGGACGUGUUGCUUGCCCUUGUUGUGGGGUUUCAACCGAUUCACGUUGGUUGAAGCAUAGUAAGAAAUUCUGUUAUAUGGGCCAUCGUCGAUGGUUGGAACCAAAUCAUCCUUUUCGAUAUCAACAAAAUCAAUUUGAUGGCACUAUAGAGUUGCGUUCCGCUCCAAUAUCACCAUCUGGAAUUGAUGUCCUAAGGCAACUACAGGGCAUAACUUAUAAAUAU
RNAcentral lists this long non-coding RNA (59675 nucleotides) under Ananas comosus (pineapple). RNAcentral's name for it is "long non-coding RNA (ACOM_LNC026588)". Lineage: Eukaryota; Viridiplantae; Streptophyta; Magnoliopsida; Poales; Bromeliaceae. The record is from RNAcentral.